UAGUAGAUUUCCCGAGUGACAGGUUGAGCGCAAGAUGGAGCACCAGGGACACGGCACCGGCGAGAAGAAAGGCAUCAUGGAGAACAUCAAGGAGAAGCUCCCCGGUGGCCACCAGCAGACCGCUGGCACCCACGGGCAGCAGGGACACACUGGAAUGACCGGCACGGAGAUGCAUGACACCACGGCCACCGGCGGCACCUUUGGGCAGCAGGGACACACCGGAACGACUGGCACUGGGACACACGGCACAGCCGGGACCGGCGAGAAGAAGAGCCUCAUGGACAAGGUCAAGGAGAAGCUGCCUGGACAGCACUAAGCCCGGUGUGCCCACGACCGCUACCUUCGCAGAAUAAUACUCCACCGUAUAUGAAUUGAUCGAGUCUAGUUCACCUAGCUCACUUGGUCAUUGGAGGAGCGAAUGUAUCUUUGCUUUAAGUUUUCACGGAAAUGUGUUCACUGUUUACGUUUGUUUACACUCUCUGUCGUGCAAAUUUCCUUUUUGUUCUUUUUUUUGGGCUAUCUAUUUUUUGACUAUCAGGAGGGCCAAAGCCACCCGGUUCCAUUAUCAAAUAACGAAACCAGAGUGAGUUCAACAUCAUGCAUAAAGGCAUGUUCAGGAGGGGGUAUACAGCGUGACCAGCAUAUCCCUCCGUUCCCCUAGGGUUUCCCUAGGGUCUACCUCUUCCUUCGGCGGCGCCGCCGAAGUCCACAAAUUCCCACGUGAAAAUCGGCCGGAUUGCUACACGCUUGCUGGUGAUCGGGUCGUCCCGAGGCAAUCGUCUUGGCACAUCGUUUGCAUGGAGUUAGGGGAUGGAGUUCGAGGAGCAGGAGGGUCGAAGGGAGCGCAGGCGGAGGAUUUAGGGCGGAAGGCUUUGGGAGCUGGAGAGGAGCAACUCCCGUCAUCAUCGGCGGCGGGGAUGGCUGCGGGAGGGGCGGAUGAAGCGAGGCGUAUGGAGGAGGAUCGGGAGGAUGGGGAUGAGGAGGAAAAUUGGGAUCACCAUGGCCCAGAUCCGAAUUUGGAAGACGUGUUUGAAGGACUAAAUUUGCAGGGGGAGGAGGUGGAUGAUCUCGAUCUGUCAGGAGAGGUUGAUGAGUUGAUCAAGGAUGUGAGGUGGCUGGCUCUUUUUAGGGUUCAUACCCUACGUCCGUUCGGUCAUGCGGCGCUGUUAAACUCUAUGAGGAAUGCAUGGGCGUGUGCUCAAGGUGUGACGUUCAAUAUAAAGGGACCUAAUUUGUUCUUGGCGCAAUGCCAUUGUUUGGGAGAUUGGAAGAGGGUCAUGGAAGGAGGACCAUGGCAGUUUAGAAGAGAUCCGGUGGUUUUGGUUGAAUAUGAUGGGUUUACUAAUGUCUCUGACUAUACGUUGGACAUGUACCCACUUUGGGCAAGGAUCAAAGGCCUGCCUGACGGUCUAACGAGGAAGAAAGAACUGGCUGAGAAGGUGGCAAAGAAGGUAGGGGAGCCUCCGUUUACGGUGAUUGUCAAUGAAGGCAAGAUCAAUCCUUCGAGCUACUUGAGAGUUAGGGUGUUCGUUAAUGUUAAUAAGACGCUGGUGAGAUUUGUGCCAAUAACCUAGAAGGAGAGGAAGAAAUACCCAGUUUACUACGAAAAGCUGCCUGAUUUCUGUUUGUUUUGUGGAUGUAUGGGACAUGUGGUCGAGGAACGUGGAGAUGGGAUACAUGAUCCGUCAUCGUGUGAAUGGGGUGACUAUUUGCAUUGGAGUGGAGAACCAAUAAACAAUGGUGCAAGGGGAGGUCGAGGUGCCUGGUCUGAGUCACGUAGAGAUAAUGCGGCUGGGGAAGGAGUACGGGGCGGUAGAAGAGGAGGUGGAGGUAGGGGUGACAGAGGAGGGAGAAGCUUUGGGACUGGAGGAAGGGGUGCUGGAGUGCAUCCGAGUGUACCUGAGGGGGUUGUUGAGGAAGGCGAGCAGGGCGGGCUAGAUCAGGAACGCUCGGCUCGUAAAAGACUCGUCAGAGAUGAUGGUACAGUUAAUCUACGUGGGCAGUUGGUUCCUAACCUGGGAGGGAAGGUGGCUGAUACUGUGCUUUUUAUUGAGUCCGGCGCCGGGAUUGGAAUGCCGAGCCCGAGUGCAGCGGCCUCCACACUGGGAAAGAACCCCAUAGUGAAAAGGUUGCGUCACAGCGGAAGUGGGGACCAGAUGAUUGUCAUUGAGGAUAUGGGUACCUCUUAUGCGGCGGCCUCCGAGUCGGAGGACCGCCAGGUCCAAUGAAUUGCUUAAGCUGGAACUGCCGGGGAGGGGGGAAUUCCCGGACAGUUCGUGAGCUGACGACCCUUUGUAGGUCAUAUUCCCACAUGUUUGUGUUCCUGUGUGAGACGAGACAGAAGGAAGCGAAGAUGAAGAGAUUAAGAGGCCGGUUUGGCUUGAAGGGCUUUUGUGGCGUUGAUAGUUCAGGCAUGAGUGGUGGCCUGGCGGUAUAUUGGCAUGAAAAUUGUGUGGUUGAAGUGCUUGACAAAGAUGAUCGUCAUGUUGAUGCCCUAGUUCAGGUGCAGGAAGGGGCGGAUCAGUGGAGAAUUACGUUUGUAUAUGGAGAACCGCGGGUAGAAAACCGGCAUCUCAUGUGGGCAAAAAUACAGAAUUUGAAAACUGUCAAUGAUCUUCCGUGGUUGGUUUUGGGGGACUUUAACGAAGCAAUGUGGGAUUUUGAACACUUUUCAGCUACUCCAAGACCAGAGCCGCAGAUGAUAGCAUUCAGGGAUGUGUUGGAAGUUUGUAGUUUAGUAGACUUGGGAUUUUUGGGGGUUCCUUUCACCUAUGACAAUAAAAGAAGUGGCUCGAGCAAUGUUAGGGUGAGGCUGGAUAGGGCCGUUGCAACAAAUGAUUGGAGGAAUAUAUUCCCCUUUGCCUCUGUACAACAUAUUCUAAGUCCUUGUUCGGAUCAUGUGGAUGUACUUCUCAAGGGCGAGGCGGAUUCUGGACCGGUUGGGCCGAAACAUCGCCGAUAUGAGAUCUUCUGGGAGCGGGACUCCACGCUGCCGGAGGUCGUCAAGAACGCGUGGGAAUCUGUUGGCAAUGUCCAAAAUUUGGAGCAGUUGCGAGAGGCGCUAACCAAGACAAUGGUGUCGUUGGGUUCUUGGUCCAGGAAGUUCGGGAAUGUUACAAAGGAGUUAGCUAAGUCCCGUUCACAGUUAGAAGAGCUCAUGCAUAUGAAUGCGGAUCGACAAGAAAUAAGGAAAGUGACAGACAGGAUGAAUGAUCUUUUGUACCAAGAGGAGAUGAUUUGGCUUCAAAGAUCGAGAAUUUCAUGGCUUAAGGAGGGGGACCGCAACACAAAGUUUUUUCAUAGUAAGGUAGUGUGGAGGGCUCGUAGAAACAAAAUCAGGCAGUUAACGGAUAGUAUUGGAGUGGUCCAUUCAGAUUUGGUGUCUAUGGGUAAGCUAGUGAAUGAGUAUUUUCGGGAUGUCUUCACUGCGGAUGUUAACCUUGAUGCAGGCCAUGUGGUUGAUCUCUUUGAAGUACUUUGUCACGGAGGAGGACAAUAUUAAGCUAUGUGCUCCGUUUAGUGAUAAGGAAAUCUCUGACGCACUUUUUCAGAUAGGGCCACUUAAGGCGCCGGGCCCUGAUGGAUUUCCAGCCAGGUUUUUCCAGAGGAAUUGGGCGACUCUCAAGGACAGUGUGAUUGCGGCUGUCAAGGAUUUCUUCAGAUCCGGGGUGAUGCGAGAGGGAGUAAAUUCCACGACGAUUGUCCUCAUUCCGAAAGUUGCUAAUCCUACAAAGCUGACUGAGUAUAGGCCAAUCAGCUUGUGCAAUGUGAUUUACAAGGUCAUAUCUAAAUGUUUGGUUAAUAGGCUCCGUCCUCUCUUGGAUAACCUAAUCUCUGAUGAGCAGAGUGCGUUCAUUCCGGGUAGGAUGAUUACUUACAAUGCGCUGAUUGCCUUUGAGUGCCUACACUACAUCAAACAGGAAAAGUAUCCAACAAAAAGCUUUUGUGCUUAUAAGCUUGAUCUCUCCAAAGCUUAUGAUAGGGUGGACAGGGGUUUCUUGAAGCAAGUGAUGCAAAAGUUGGGGUUCUCUCAGCGAUGGAUAGACUGGAUUAUGACUUGUGUCACAUCGGUGAGAUAUUCUGUCAAAUUAAACGGAACUCUCUUGGAUUCAUUUGCACCGACGCGUGGGCUUCGGCAAGGUGAUCCCCUUUCACCAUUUUUAUUCUUGUUUGUGGCGGAUGGUCUUUUGGCGAUCCUAAAAAAGAAAGUGGCAUCUGGUCAUAUUACUCCUGUAAGAGUAUGCAGGCGAGCACCGGGCAUAUCCCAUUUGUUAUUUGCUGACGAUACCAUGUUGUUUUUUGAGGCAACUAGAGAUCAGGCUAAGAGCGUUAAGGAAGCUCUAGACUUGUAUGGUGCGGCCACUGGGCAAAGUCUCAAUUAUGGAAAAUGUUCUAUGUUCUUUGGUUCUUCUUGUCCGAACACAAUUCAAGAUGAGGUUCGACAGGUGCUGCGUGUGCAAAGUCUGGUUUUUGAGGAAAAAUAUUUGGGUUUGCCUACCCCUGAGGGUCGCAUGUCUAAGGGGAAGUUCCAAAACCUUCAAACAAGCUUGAUAAAACGCCUUAUUCAGUGGGGAGAUGGUCAACUUGCCCAGCCUGGUAGGGAGGUAUUAGUGAAAGCUGUUGCACAGGCGUUGCCAACCUAUAUCAUGGGGGUUUUCAAAUUGCCAUUUUCAGUUUGCGGUGAUCUUACAAGAAUGGUUAGAAACUUUUAUUGGGGCUCGGCAAAAGGAAAAAGAAAGGUCCAUUGGAGGGGGUGGGACCAUCUCAUGCAGCCAAAGGAUAGAGGUGGUGCAGGUUUUCGUGAUUUUCAGCUGUUUAACCAGGCGCUUCUGGCUCGGCAGGCGUGGAGAUUGAUUUCUAGGCCGAACAGUUUAUGUGCACUGGUUCUGAAAGCAAGAUACUAUCCGGAGGGCAAGCUUGAAGACACGGUGUUUUCUGGCAACGCUUCCUCCUCCUGGCAAGCAAUAAGCCAUGGGUUAGACUUACUAAAGAAGGGUCUGAUUUGGCGUGUGGGCAAUGGCAGGAGCAUACGAGUUUGGCGCGACAACUGGAUCCCAAGGCCUUUCUCAUAUAAACCCAUCUCACUGCAGGGCAGAUGUCGUAUUCGCUAUGUUUUCGACUUCCUGAAUGAGAAUGGAUCCUGGAAGGGGCAGUUACUGUCAGAGUAUUUCCUUGCUGCGGAUGUUGAUGAAAUACUAAAGAUUAGAGCUUCUCCGAGGCAGGCCGAAGAUGUUAUUGCAUGGGGUCCCAAUAAGCUGGGUGUGUUCACAGUAAAAAGUGCUUAUAUGUUGGCGUUUGAAGAAGCACAUAGAGAGAGGGCAUCCUCGUCUAGUUCUUCUCCAGAUGGGAGUAGAGCUUGCUGGUCUUACAUAUGGAAGAGCUUGGCGCCUCCGACCGUCAAGAACUUUGCUUGGCGUAUGGCGACUGAUGGGCUACCUACCUGGCGGAACAAGCAUAAAAUCGGAUUAGAAGUAUCAAGUACCUGUCCAGUUUGUGGUGUUGAAGAGGAAGAUAAUUUUCACCCCUUUGUGCGCUGCCAAUUUGGGAGAGACUUGUAUCUAGAGAUGGCCAAGGUUUGGAGGUUACCUAGUAUUGAUAAUCUGAUAAACAGUGGGAAGGAGUGGCUGCUUAUUGCCUUAUCUUCAUUAAGUGAUAUUGAGCGAUGCAUGAUGCUUAUGACCUUUUGGCGGAGCUGGUUCGUCCGAAAUGAGAUUACACAUCAAAAACCAGCUCCACCACUUGAAGUUUCGGUUCGGUUCCUGCAAAGCUACCUGGAGUCGCUGGUGGCGAUCAAACUGAAUUCCAACAUGGACCCGAUCAAGGGCAAUCCGUUGUGAUCCUAGACUCGUUGCCUUCACCGUGCAGGGCGGUUUCCCCAGAGAGUAGAUGGUCUAAACCAAGCAGGGAUUGUGUUAAACUAAACACUGAUGGGUCCUAUGAUUCUUCGAGAGCAGCGGGAGCUGGAAUGAUCCUUCGGGAUUCUAAUGGCGAAAUUAUAUUCUCAGCCUGCCGAGUUUUAUUUUCCUGCAGAGAUGCUCUGGAAGCGGAGUUAUGUGCAUGCAUGGAGGGGCUUUCGAUUUCUAUUCAGAGGUCAAAUCUUCCUAUUGUGGUUGAGAUGGAUUCGUCGGAGGCGGUGGCCAUGAUCAACUGUGUUGGCAAGGAUCGAUCGGUCUAUGCUGCUCUUAUUGAUGAGAUAAGAUAUCUUGUUAGUCUUCGUUCUACUUGCAUUACUCACGUUUCGCGAACUCAAAAUAAAGCUAGUGAUUGCCUAGCUACCUUCAGGAGAGUUGAGAGUAGAAUUAUGACCUGGAUUGGGUCAGGCCCCCCGGAGGUGGUACAGAUUGCUAAGGAUGAUUGUAAAGACUUGAUUAUUGAGUAAUACAAGUAUUUCUCCCCGCAAAAAAAAGGCAUGUUCAGGAAGGUAAAAGGUUACAUAAAACGCUCAGGAAAAAGUGAAAGGUGCAAACUUAUUACAACACGGGUAUCUUCAGAGUGUCGAAUACAUUCCGCUUUUCUCCCAUUCUAUGGUUUACAAUGUUUUAAAUAACUCAACUAUAGCCUUUGAGACCUCUCUCGCUAAAGCUAUGCACUUUUAAUGCUAAAUUAAUAUGACGGUAAUAGCCCGCAAUUUCCCGUUAUAAUGCUACCUUUGGAGUUAUUUAGCCCGCUAAGCCGCAAUACAAAACCAUCCUUUUGCAUUAUUUUUUGUUCUUGUUUAUGAUAUAUUUGACACAUUGAUGCGAAGCUUGGUUAUUGAAUUAGGACACCAGAUUGGUGCUAGGGUUUCGAUGUGCGAACAUGUGUAUAUAUCGAGUAUAUGCAAUAUAUCAUAUAUGAUGUUCAUUUUAUAAUUAUUUUUUUUUCAAUUUUGCAUGAAUAAAGGAAAACAAAAAACGGGGCUUAGCUUCGCUAUAGCUUUUCAUAGCAACGGGCCAAUCCGCCGCUAAAUGGCAUAGCCCGCUAUUUAAAACAUAGGGUUUUCAGCACGAUCCUCCAGACUGCAGUACCAGGGGCCACCCCCACUCCAGGCCGCUUGAGCUUCUUUGCAGGUUGAGCUGGAGAACUAGGUAGAUCCAGUGGUGUGACUGGGCUCGGUAGGGAGUGUUUGCAGGGGGCAUUGCCAGGACUCCUGGGACGUGAUGAUAGAGUAACCCGAUUCAGUUUGGCAAUGAGCACUUGAGAAAAAGCACCUUCAGCAUUUUGGUGAAGCUCCACUACCCACUGUGAUCUGAAAAGGGGUGUUUAGGAUCAAGGAAAUUUUGAGACAAAAUUCCUCUAUCUUCAACAGUGAGGCAUCCAUAAAUAAUAUCACCCGUCUCCUCAUGAGCCCUAGUGUCAAGUUCGAAACUUGUUUCAAAAUCAAUCCAGACAGUAUUAUAAAGAAUACAUGAAUUCCUAUGUUUCCACAUAGCCCACAACACACAAGCACAUGUAGAAUUUAAAUCACUGUGUUUCUUGUGGGCUAGCAAGAAUUUGGCAAUGGAGAGGUAAAUUUUUCCUAGUUCAUAGGAGAAGAAUUUUGAUACAGAAGCCCAAACUUGUUUUGCAACAACACAAUCAAAGAAUAAAUGGUGUAUGGAUUCCUACUCAGAACAAUAAACACAUUCUAGAGAUUUUCUACCACUACUAGGGAAAACGUUAUACACAGAACUUUAGCAGUAGCGCUUGUCAAAAAAGCUCGCUACUGCUAGACAGCAGUAGCGCGUGCCAAAUAAGCGCGAUGCAGAUGCAUAUAUAGCAGUAGCGCGUCUCGCUGAAAACUCUCUACUACUAAAAUUUCGACCACUAAGCCGAUGGGCUACACAUAGUAGUAGCGAUCUUUCAGAAACCGCGCUGCCGCUAAUAUUCUUAUAGCAGCGCGUUUACGUGCAAAGCGCUACUGCUAACGAAAAUAAAAUAAAAUGAAAAACAAAUAGAAAAGUAAAUGAAAAAUGAAAGAAAUAGAAAAAGGAGAAAGGAAAAAUAUAAAAUGUAAAGAAAAAUAAACGAAAAAGGGAAAAAAGGAUGAAGGAAUAGCAGUAGCGCGUUUGCGAAAACGCGCUAUAGCUAACUUAGCUAUAGCGCGUUUUCCCUAACGCGCUACCGUUAUUAUUGACUUAACCCAAAAAAUGGUUUCCCCCCGGCCACCACUUCUCCCCCAAAUCCCUCGCCCCACUCUUCGCCGCCGUCUCCCCCACCUCACCGUCUCCCCCACUUCGCCGCCGUCUCCUGCCGGCGUCGACGCCGCGCUCAUCCUCACCGCCGCCGCCCGAGGCCGCCCAACCUCACCGCCGCCGUCUCUCGGGCCGCCCUCGACCUCACUGUCACCGCCCUCGACCUCUCCGCCGCCGNNNNNNNNNNNNNNNNNNNNNNNNNNNNNNNNNNNNNNNNNNNNNNNNNNNNNNNNNNNNNNNNNNNNNNNNNNNNNNNNNNNNNNNNNNNNNNNNNNNNNNNNNNNNNNNNNNNNNNNNNNNNNNNNNNNNNNNNNNNNNNNNNNNNNNNNNNNNNNNNNNNNNNNNNNNNNNNNNNNNNNNNNNNNNNNNNNNNNNNNNNNNNNNNNNNNNNNNNNNNNNNNNNNNNNNNNNNNNNNNNNNNNNNNNNNNNNNNNNNNNNNNNNNNNNNNNNNNNNNNNNNNNNNNNNNNNNNNNNNNNNNNNNNNNNNNNNNNNNNNNNNNNNNUUUCUCUUAGCUUUUUCUUCCUCUGCCAUGUUAAUUAGCAGUAGUAGUAGAUGUUAAUUAGUACUAGGGUUCAUACAUAAUGAUUUUUAGUAGUAGUAGUAGAUGUUAAUUAGUAGUAGUGAUGGUACUAGUUAACUAGGGCAGUAUGUUUAAUAGUAGAUGUUUUUAGUUAGGGUAAUAAUAGAUGUUAAGUAGUAGAUAAUGUUGAUGUUAAUUAGUUCAGUAGGGUUUAGUUUUUGAAUUGAGUUUGUUUAACUAGAUGUUACUUAGGGCAGUAGGGUUUAGUUUAGAGUAAAGUAAUUUAGUUCAGUAGUUAAGUAAAUAUAAUCUAUAUUUGGUUUUUGAAUUGAGUUUGAGAGAGCAUGAGAUUUGUGUAGAUUUUCUUGUAGUGUCAAACGCUAGGACAUGCAAAUUUGAAGUGGUCAGGAUAUAUGCAAAUUCCUUAAUUAUGUUUACACAUGCAUGUUUCGAUUGUGCCCAAGUGGCCUUUUGUUGUUUCCAGGGAAUGAAGCCGAGUGGCCUAUGUUUUGCCGGAAUGUUGAUUCAUUUCCAUUCCGGCAAAUUUUAGACUCUCGAUUUGUCCACUUUUUAGGAAAGGUCAUGCCGAAAUUUUCCGUGAAUUUCGGCAUGACUUGUGCUACAAACUAGGACAUAUCGAGUGCCCGGGAUUUGCCGCACCAGGAAGGAGUCAACGUUCUUGCAAAACAUUAGGCUUUUUUAUGUCAUUAUUCAUUUUAUUAGGUCUAAAAUUAAUUGACUAGAUUUAAUCGUAGGAAACAUGGCUAGCAAUGAUGAAGGACAGGGUUCUGGUGAUUGCGACAACGUCUACCGGGCGGCAGACGAAUUUUUGAGCCUUGCUGACGAUCAACCGAUGUUGUUGCUGGGCCCACCGGUGGCAUCGGGGACUGAGACCGACACAUAGACCUGUGCUGAGACUGAGACCGGCGCUGAGACUCAGACCGGCAUCGAGACCGGCGCUGAGACUGAGACUGGCGCUGCCUCGAGGAGCGGAGCCGGUGUAGAACUGAAAGCAAAGAGGCAACGGCUUCCUAACAAACUCAGGACUACUAGACUGAUGGUCACGGAGGUGGACGACAGCAAUUUUGAGCUAAAUGCGCCCGAGGAAGCGCGCGCAUGCUACGGCAAUCAAAUAGGCUGCAUCGUACGGACAACCGCCACCAUCAACGAUGAGAAACUAUAGAAGAUAGAUAAUAUGAGGCCCUCCCUCCUAAAGAAGUUUCACCAGAUAUUCUUGUUCCCGGGCCGGAAUGAAAAGGAUUAUGAAGAUCCAGGUAAGGACCCGCUAAUGAAGAAGAUACAGAAACACACCAUGACCAAGUUUAGCGACGCGUUGGCCGCCUGGAAAACAAGGGUGAAAGCAAGGAUCAUCGACAAGAAGGAACCCUACUCCGACAUUGUAAAGUAUAAUCCGACAAUCACAGAAGAGUAGUUUCAAAUAUUCAAGGUGGCUUGCGAGGCCGAAGCUGGCAAAAAAAGUCUAAGUACAUGAAGGGGCUUCAAGAGAGGAACAUUGGGAGCCACCACCUAGAAAGCCGUGGUUACGGCGGGAAGAGGUCCAAAUGGGCCAAGGAGGACGCGGAAGCCGCGAGUCUGGGCAUCCCAGACCCCUUGGCGGAGUUCACCAUCUCGCAUGAGCGUGACAUCCUCAGGGCCCGGCACCGUUGGGACCCAGUGAAGAAGGUUUACGAGACAAAUGCGGUCACGACGGAGUUCAUUAGACUGCUGGUAAUUUUAGUUUUUGAUCAAUUCGACUGCACAUGUUAGUCAUAUUUAUAAACGAUCCUUGUGCCUUUUUGAUGUCUACUACGCAACCUUCUCCUUGUAGACGUUGUUGGGCCUGCAAGUGCACAGGUUUGUAGGACAGUAGCAAAUUUCCCUCAAGUGGGUGACCUAAGGUUUAUCGAUCCAUAGGAGGCGUAGGAUGAAGAUGGCCUCUCUCAAGUAACUCUGCAACCAAAUAACAAAGAGUCUCUUGUGUCCCCAACACACCCAAUACAAUGAUAAAUUGUAUAGGUGCACUAGUUCGGCGAAGAGAUGAAGAUACAAGUGCAAAAUAGAUAGUAGAUAUAGGUUUUUGUAAUCUGAAAUAAUAAAAACAGCAAGGUAACAAGCGAUAAAAGUGAGCGUAAACGGUAUUGCCAUGAUAGGAAACAAGGCCUAGGGUUCAUACUUUCACUAGUGUAAGUUCUCUCAACAAUAAUAACAUAGAUAGAACAUAUGACAAGCCCUCAACAUGCAACAAAGAGUCACUCCAAAGCCACUAAUAGCGGAUAACAAACGUAGAGAUUAUGGUCGAGUACGAAACCACCACAAAGCUAUUCUUUCAGAUCAAUCUAUAAAAGAGUUUGUACUAGAAUAACACCUUAAGAUACAAAUCAACCAAAACCCUAAUGUCACCUAGAUACUCCAUUGUCACCUCAAGUAUCCGUGGGCAUGAUUAUACGAUAUGCAUCACACAAUCUCAGAUUCAUCCAACCAACAUAAAAGUACUUCAAAGAGUGCCCCAAAGCUACUACCGGAGAGUCAAGAACGUGUGCCAACCCCUAUGCAUAGGUUCCCAAGUGUCACGAAACCCGCAAGUUGAUCACCAAAACAUACAUCAAGUGGAUCAAUAGAAUAACCCAUUGUCACCACAGUUAUCCCACGCAAGACAUACAUCAAGUGUUCAUAAAAGACUCAAUCCGAUAAGAUAACUUCAAAAGGGGAAACUCAAUUCAUCACAAGAGAGUAGAGGGGGAGAAACAUGAUAAGAUCCAACUAAAAUAGAAAAGCUCGGGAUACAUCAAGAUCGUGCCAUAGAGGAACACGAGAGAGAACACGAGAGAGAGAGAUCAAACACAUAGCUACUGGUACAUACCCUCAGCCCCGAGGGUGAACUACUCCCUCCUCGUCAUGGAUAGCGCCGGGAUGAUGAAGAUGGCCUCCGGUGAUGGGAUCCCCCUCCGGCAGGGUGCCGGAACGGGGUCCCGAUUGGUUUUUGGUGGCUACAGAGGCUUGCGGCGGCGGAACUCCCGAUCUAUCUUCUGUUCUGGAAGUUUUAGGGUACGUAGGUAUAUAUGGGUGCAGGGAGAACGUCGGUGGAGCUACGGAGGCCCCACGAGGCUGGGGGGCGCACCCAAGGGGAAGGGCGCCCCCCACCCUCAUGAGCACCUCCCAUAUCUUCUGACGUGGGGUCCAAGUCCAUCAGGUGGGUUUCCUUCCAAAAAUAACUUCUCUAGUUGAUUUCGUUCCGUUUUGACUCCGUCUGAUAUUCCUUUUCCUCGAAACACUAAAAUAGGCAUAAAACAACAAAUCUGGGUUGGGCCUCCGGUUAAUAGGUUAGUCCCAAAAGUAAAGUGGAUAAUAAAGCCCAAUAUUACCUAAAACAAUAGAUAAAGUAGCAUGGAGCAAUCAAAAAUUAUAGAUACGUUGGAGACGUAUCACUUUUGCAGAGAGAGCAGCAAAGGAGUGCGGCCGAAAGCGACUCGCCGUUUGAGGCAUUGGCGAGGCCCAAGUGGGACACUCCAUUCAACCGGUCGUUGAACAUAUUGAAACGACUCCCGGUGGAGACUCGACCGCCGUAUGGACGCGUGCACAGUGUCGGAGACGGCGCCACAUGGAAGAAGUACUACCGUGUGACCACGGAGGAGAGAAAGGAAAGACGGAGGUUAACUGAAGAAAACAUCGAUAAGAAGGUUGAGAUUGCGGUUGAGAAGAAAUCAUCUCGGACAGUCGCAACAGCGGUAAUCCUCUACCCCGAUACUCCCACGCUCUUUACUUGGACUCAUCGAAGAACAUUCACAAAAAGGAUUACACCCACAUCAAGGAUGUUCUCGACAGUGCUAUGUUUUACUACCAAGCAUGGGGUGGAGAGGUCAAGGACAAGAAGAGAAGGGGCGGCAGGCUCGCCUUCGGCCAUAAGACCGACUUCUGCUGCAUCCAGCAACCGAGUGAUUCUCUUAAUGAUGGAUUCUAUGUCCUACACCACAUGCUGGAGUACAGACGGGAUCACCAGAACCUUCGCAUGUCACCUAGAUCCGGCGAUGCCCAUAUUCUGCAAUGGGCAAAGAACGUAGGAGAUAUCGAGGAUCAUCGACUUUGAGCUGAGUUCUAUAACAUCCAGCGCGAACUUGCCCAAAUCAUCAUGAAGGAAGUCGUCGGAAAAACAGGGAUGUUCUACGAAGAAGGACAAAUGUCGCGGGAAGACGUCCGAACAUGGGUAUCCUCUCAGCGUCUCGACAUGAAGCCUUUCACUAAACUCGGGGACUAUCUCCCUGACAUCGAUGGAUGGCACGACAUGUUGGAGUGAUUGUUGAUAUAUGACAAUGUGUCCGUUUAGUCCAUACUUUCUGUACGACAAAACUUUGAGUUAUGCACGGCAAAACUUUAUUUGUGAUGUAAUUAAACCGUCCUCCUCCUCGAGUAGCGAAGAUCACUCUAGUUAGGGCAUUUUAGGUAUGAUGAACUUUGUUAUUUAUGCUUAUGAUAUGUUGUUUCUAUUUUGCCAAGUCUGUCUCUUUAUGUUGCUCAACUAUAUAUGUUGCAUAUCAUCGACUAAUGUGACGAUGCAGGUGCAUAGAUCAUCGAUGGAGAAGAAGUGCUACGCCAGGAGUAUAUAUACGAUGAGUGGCUGGAGUGUCAGGCAUAGGUGUACCGGUUUCCGGUUUUCGAGCGAUAGGCAGUAGUUAGUUUAGGUUCACGCUAAUGCGAGAGAGGGAUACGAACUCAUGUACUGCAUAGUUCCGCUCUCACUCAAAGUGAUAUCUCUUCUCGUGUAUAUCACUGUUUAGAUGGAUGACGAUGUAUUUGCAUGUAAUCGAGACUUGUAUCGCUAUUUUCGAGAUGAUGACGAGAGACCACUUUGUGUUGGAUGAUGAUUAUGAUCAUGACAUGAUUUGAUGAGACUAGUUGUAUGUAUAUGCUAUGAUUACAUUUGUAUGUGUAUGAUAUGCUAAAGAUUAUUGUAUAAAGCCUAUUCAAAUACAAAACAAAUAUGCAAAAAAAAUAAUAAAACUAGUAGUAGCGAGGGGGGAAAGUUAGCAGUAGCGCCGCCUUACCAGUAGCGCUUCCCUGUAAAAAGCGCUGCAGAUAAUAUCAUUAGUGCUCUUCAGUGAAGCGCGGUACAACUAUCCAUGUAUAGCAGUAGCGCCUUAUCAGUAGUGCAUCUUCCCGCGCUAUUGAUUGGCCUAAAAUCCGCGCUGCUGCUAGGCUUUUCCCUAGUAGUGUACCCCUCUUUUACACUACCAGGGAAAUGCUUAUAGGUAGGACAUCAGUAGUAGCGCUGGAAAAAAAGGAAUCGCUGCUGCUAAUUAGCAGCAGCGCUUGUCCGGGUACGCACUACAAUUAAUGCUUUAGAAGUAGCGUUGGAAACAGAAAAGCGCUACUACUAAGUGGGACCCAACGCUCCCACCGACGCUAGUUGUAGUAGCAACGCUGUCCAGAAAACAACGCCACUACUAAUAUUUUAGCAGUAGUGCUUUAUUUUACAGCACCGCUACUACUAACAGGCCUCACUUUGUAGUAACGCUGCUUCCUGAAAAGCGUUGCUGCUAAGUAGCAUAGCAGCAACGCUUUCUGGGAAGCAGCGCUACUGCUAGUUGCGGCUGGUGCCACGUUUUCACCCCCUCCUCCUCCCCCUCCUUUCCCCACUUCUUUCCCCCCUCUCCACCAUUGUUGCCCUUCUUCUCUCUUCCUCCUACCUCUCUUCUAUCCUCAUUAAUGUCCCCCUCCAUCAUAACUCUCCUCCAUAAAUGGUCUUCUCAUCUCUCUCUUCCUCGUACCUCUCUUCUUUCCCCAUUAAUGCCCCCUCCACCAUAACUCCCUCUCUAUUAGUUAGCUAGAGUCAUUUCUCCUCCCCAACAACUAGAUCUAGCUAGCUAUUUAGCCAUCCACACUUUCGAUCCCUAUAGGUAGCGAAAGGCCUCAUCUAACCGUGCUCGGUCUCUCUCGGGAGAUAUAUAGGUGAGUAAAAAGUUGUUCAUUUCAAGAAUGGGAAUAUGUGUGUUUGGGGUAUGGAGAGAUUUGUGCGAGUGACAUGCCCCCGAGUUGCUUAUGUUUUGCCAAAAUGUCUAUUUAUUUCCGUUUCGGUGAAUUUCAAGCAAAAUCGACAUGUCCUACUUUUAGGCAAGGCCAUGCCAAAUUUUUAUAUGACUUUGAUGCAUGGAUGCAUUUUGUUUAUAACCCUUUUGCUUGUUAUACCGUGCAGUCGGUCAUGAAGGUGAGUGGAUGGAACAUGGAGCGAUACAUGCAAUCCGCGGUGAUGGACAUGUAUGCAAAUAAUCGGACUAGGAUUAGAUGUUCGUGUGCAAGAUGCAAAGAAGGAGUCCUUUUGGACCCUUUUGAUCGUGGCACUUUGAAGGCGCACCUGCUGAUGAAUGGUUUUAUGGAUGGCUAUACUCGAUGGAUAAGUGAAGAAGAUGAUGAUGAUGACGAGGACGUCCACAUGGCAGGGAAUAACGACAUGGGGCUAGAUGAAGAGAUGACCGAUUGACACGAAGACGAUGAUGGCGCCGGACAUGGCGGUGGGGAAGAGUCCGGAAAUGAUGGCGGCAGAGAAGAUUCUGGACACGCGAAGAAGAGUCCGGACAUGGCGGAGAAGAGGCAGACGUCAUGCUGCAGUCUUCGACGCUACUAAGUGCAGUCGUGCAAGACCCUCAUGUUCGAGACCUCCUAGCAAGAGUACGACUAGCGAGAGAGUUGCUUCUAGAGAGUAGGCAAAGCUGGUGCAACUUAAAGUAGACUCGAAGACUCCAUUGUAUGACGGUUGCGACCCGACAUGACCCGCUUGAGUUUCACGCUCGAACUUCUAAAGACGAAGGCCAACAAAUGGACAGACAAAAGCCUCGAUGAGCAUUUGAAGUAUCUACAUAAUAAAGUUCUUCCCGCGGGGAAACUAUGUCGUAAUAGUGUUCAGGAGGCCAAGAAAAUCAUUUGCCAUUUUGAUUUGCCGCACAUUAGGUACCAUGCAUGCAUCAACAAUUGCAUCAUUUAUCCGGGGAAGCACACGAAAAAAACCAGCAGUCCAGUGUGCAAUGCUUCUCGAUACAAGAAGGCAGGAAAGAAAGCUCCUCAGAAAGUUGUAUGGUACUUUCUGAUCACUCCCCGUCUGCAGUGGUAUUUAGUAGAUCCUAAGGAAGCAAAGCUCAUGCGCUGGCACACGGAGAGGAAGAAGCCCGACGAUGGAGAUGAUCCGAAGCUGAGACACCUCAUAGAUGGUAGCCAGUGGAGAGUGACGGUGUCCUGGACUAGGGGGUACUCAACACGUCGUCUCCCGAUCAGUUGGAUUGGGCCCAGGACCCCCAUGGCCGUAUACUCAUGGGCCAGUCCGGACAGCUGCCGCAUACAAGGAAGAAUCCACAAGACUUGGCGAUCAAGACAAGGACUCCUCCCCCACCGGCGUAUUCGGCUAGGACUCAUGUUAUCCUAGGCCUCUGGUGCAUUAUAUAAACCAAGGCCAGGCUAGUCGAUAGAGAUAUACAACAAUCAUACCAUAGGCUAGCUUCUAGGGUUUAGCCUCCUUGAUCUCGUGGUAGAUCUACUCUUGUACUACCCAUAUCAUCAAUAUUAAUCAAGCAGGACGUAGGGUUUUACCUCCAUCGAGAGGGCCCGAACCUGGGUAAACAUUGUGUCCCUUGCUUCCUGUUACCAUUGAUCCUAAGACGCACUGCUUGGGACCCCCUACCCGAGAUCCGCCGGUUUUGACACCGACAUUGGUGCUUUCAUUGAGAGUUCUGCUGUGUGAUCGGCGAAAGGAUCAAUGGCUCGACAGUAGGUUAACUGCGACGUUGGCUUCUUCAUCACCAGCUCGACUGGUCACCUUGGCUUCACCGAGGACUGCACCCUACCUCCGACCGUCAUGUUCGGAAGAGGGCCUUCAUCAACACCAACUCUGAUCUCUAUCAAGAUCAUGGAGGAGUCAUCCAGGGAGCUCGGGGGCUCAACAUCAACAUUGCCCUCAGGCGACCGUGCUAUGUCACCACUUCGGAGUGCCGAGCUCUUUGCUCCGCCACCUCGGGACCGGCUCUGGGAUGGAACCUUGUCCAGCAUCAAGCUCGGACCGCGUCAUCAGUACCGAACACAUUAACCAGCUAAGUUGUCUUCAUGCUCAAAGUUUUAAACUUGUGUUCGGCUCGGCCAAGCAUUAUACUUUUUUGGAAAAAAGUUGCUUGUAAAAAUUUCCUUGUCCAAACUUUGUUUGUGACGCGCAAAUUCAAAUACCCCGUUUACUUGGGGGGCUUCCUUCAUGAAGCUUUUUCCUCUCGCAUAUGGUUAUACUUGUACGGCUUCGUUCCUUGUUCGUGUAUUACGCCACAAUAUGCACCAUAUUGACUUAAGCGAUUUGCAAGCUGGGUUGCCUGGCUCCUGUGCUUACCCCUACGUUCCCGAUUGUUCGGCUAGGGAGUAAAGGGAGCACCUCUGCGAUUGUCACGAUCGGGUCACCCGAGCCGGACCUCAGACUGGGUGAAGCCGAAAGCUAGCGCUCUUAUUGUUUUCAAUCAUGGUCGGCACACAACGGAACUCAUGAGUACAAAAAAUCUGUUGCUCAAGUCUCAUAAUAAUAAUGAGCACCGAAGAAAGGUAUCGGUGGGGGUACUAUUUUCUUCGAAGAUGCUUCUUACACUUUGCAGUAAUAUAGCAUAAGUUCCCUGAGCGCGCUUUGUCUGUUACAGCCUUAUGGCCUAUUGCCUGGUUAUUGGAAACACCGUCGAUAUUCUCGACAGAUGGAGUACAUAACACUUUUCGGUCCUUGACCGAAGAGGGAGAAGCCGACGGUCGGUUAAGACGCGUUUAAAGUUCGGUUGAACAUAGAUAUGAUAUAAGUACUUCGGUACAUGCAAUCAUUCUUUUACCCAAGUCACUUGGGGGCUCUUAAAUUUAUAUGAGCCGUUUUAUGAUAAGUGUUUUUCUUCUUAGUCGUUGCAAAGUUUUUAUUAUUAUUUAUCACUCCUUUUUUCGACACAAGUGUGUGGUCACUAGCCGGGGAGCCUAAUUUGUCUCUCAAAGAAGCCGUAGGCUGACCCACUUGAAGUUUUGAGAUAGGAUGUGUCAUGUUAAAGCACGGCAAAAGCACCUUUUUUUAAAGUCCAAUUUUCGGAUUGGCACCGAACACUUGAUCUAGUUCGGACAUUAACCUUUUGAAUAAGUUUUUUGGCUUUUCGAGCCCAUGGCACUUUUAAACUAUUUGUGUGUUUUUAGCACAAGUCUCGCAGUGCAACGCCGGACACCUUUAGAGAAUCGGCAAAAACAUUCUCGGAUAUUGCUAUAUAUGCAUCGGUUUCGAAUUGUGUCUUCGGUCAAUAGUUGGGUUGCCCGGCUCCUGCGCUUGCCUCCUAUAUUCCGCUUUGUUCGGCUAGGUGUGCAAAGAGAGAACCACUGCGAUUGUGCUUUCAGCUCACAUGGUUAAGCACCUCAGUGGAGAAAGCCGAAAAAAAACUGUCACAAUAAGCGUAAACUGGUCGGCGAUCCGAUGACGGUGUUAAACGACGGGCCAUUCAUAACCAUAGCCGAAGUGUUUACGGCUUGACCUCGACUAUCGCCGAACACUACCGGGGGCUAUUAACUGGCCUCCCAAACUAAAUCCUCGAUAUUUUGCUCUUACACUGGAGCUGAGGUUUCAUGAUCAUGCUUAGCAUGACAACCCAAAGAAAGGAACCGAUAGCGGGACUAUUUUCUUUGGAAGACAUUUCUUCUGUUAAACAGUAAUAUAACAUGUCUCUCCGCGUACCUUUGUUUAUAAAACCGUAUGGCCAGAUUGCCUCGUUUGUUGUAAAUCUUUGCCCUCAUAAAGGCUUUAUAAAGUAGGACAAACACUCCUCGGCUAUUGGCCGAGGAGGUAGAAGCUGAUGGUCGGUCAACAAAGUUUUAUACAAUGCGGAUCCGAGCAUUAAUGACGUAAAGUACUUGGAUACAUAGAGUCAUUACACAUAAUUUGUGAUUUUACUAUGGAUAUCGAUCCUUAAUUCGGCCUCCCGUGCCUGCAUUAAGGCUCGGGGGCUACUGGGCUUCGGGCUUGUUAUUUACAAAUAUUAAAGGGGCACAUCAAUCCCCUGAUCUAGUGUUACCACCCGACCAGUGUCUUGGGGGCUACUGCAUUGCCUGUUCUAUGCAGAAAAUUUUAAGUGCAAUACAGUUUCCGAGGAGAUUUUGAUCCUCAGGUUGGUCGGCCACACCCAACCCGAGUCUUGAGGACUGAGCACGCCGCUUUUUGUGUCCCGAAGUAUUCUGCCGAGCUAGGACUUGAUCCUCAAACCGAUUUUGCAAAUCAACCUGAGUCUCAGCAGCUACGGGGAUCAGCGGUCUUAUGUCAUCCUUCAUGGGCAUCUCGGGUUUUAGACCGAUACCCACCUUGAGGGCUACUGGCUAUGUAUCUCGGCAGAGAAUAAAUUACACCAAUCAAAAAUAUUGGCAAAAAUCAGCCCACAUUCGGGGUGGUGCACCACCUGGGAAGCUGUCCGGCAUAAAGCUCGGGCACUAGUGGCUGGCUCCAUAGAGAGCAUUUCCGGCGUUAAGCUCGGCUAAACUCCUUCAAACUUCUUUGAACCAAGGUGAUUUACGACACCUCGGAUAUAGUCCGGCGUUGGAGCUCGGAUACAUAGUCUGGCGUUGGAGUUCGGAUACAGUCCGGUGUUGGAGCUCGGAUACAGUCCGGCGUUGGAGCUCGGAUACAUAGUCCGGCGUUAGAGCUGGUAAGCAGUCCGACAUUGGUGCUCGACUGCAAAAGAUACCUCGAAUGCAGUCCGGCGUUAGAGCUGGUAAGCAGUCCGACAUUGGUGCUCGACUGCAAAAGAUACCUCGAAUGCAGUCCGGCGUUGGAGCUCGGAUGCAAGAGGACGUUGCCGCCCGGGAACAACUUCAAACCCGAGGUGUGGCAUAAAAAUAACAAGGCAUUGAUAAAGGCCGGAAACUUAAAGGGGCUCCUCGGAUACCCGACGUAUAAACUUGUCGAAUGCAUUUCGGUAAUCCUCAAGAUCGAAGAUGAGAAGAUUUGUUGAACCAGUUUUCAAGACCGGCAACCGAAGAUGAAGAACAGUUCGGAAGAAUCGAGGAGCGUCCCUAACUUGAAGACCGGUUCAGGGGCUACUGACGGUGUCCUGGACUAGGGGGUACUCAACGCGUCGUCUCCCGAUCAGUUGGAUUGGGCCGAGGACCCCCAUGGCCGUAUACUCAUGGGCCAGUCCGGACAGCUGCCGCAUACAAGGAAGAAUCCACAAGACUUGGCGAUCAAGACAAGGACUCCUUCCCCACCGGCGUAUUCGGCUAGGACUCAUGUUAUCCUAGGCCUCUGGUGCAUUAUAUAAACCGAGGCCAGGCUAGUCGAUAGAGAUAUACAACAAUCAUGCCAUAGGCUAGCUUCUAGGGUUUAGCCUCCUUGAUCUCGUGGUAGAUCUACUCUUGUACUACCCAUAUCAUCAAUAUUAAUCAAGCAGGACGUAGGGUUUUACCUCCAUCGAGAGGGCCCGAACCUGGGUAAACAUUGUGUCCCUUGCUUCCUGUUACCAUUGAUCCUAAGACGCACUGCUUGGGACCCCCUACCCGAGAUCCGCCGGUUUUGACACCGACAGAGAGAAUUCAACACUUUAUAUGGAUUUGAUGUAGAAGAUCCAAGGAACAUCGUGCUUGGUGCGAGUACCGAUGGCAUGAAUCCGUUUGGAAACCAGAACACCAACCACAACACAUGGCUCGUCUUUGUAUGGAUGUACAACAUCCCCCCAUGUAAGUGCAUGAAGACAAAGUACAUACACAUGAGCAUGCUGUUUCAAGGGUCGAAACAACCGGGAAAUAAUAUUAACCUGUAUGUGGGGCUUCUGAAAGAGGAGCUAGACACGUUAUGGGAAACACCGGCAUGGACAUGGGAUGCCAACAAAGGAGAGUAUUUCUAUAUGAGAGCCACGCUGAUGAUGACGGUGCACGACUAUCUCGGUUACGGUACACCUCAGGCCAGGUGUGCCACAGAUACUGCGGAUGCACGAGGUGCAUGGAUGAUACAACGUCUCAGCAGCUUAGGUCAAUGAAAGAUGUCGGGUCUGGGAAAAUUGUGUACAUGGGGCAUCGUAGAUGGCUCGAGAAGGAUGACCCGUGGAGAAAGCAUAGAUAUCUAUUCAAUGGGUUGGCUGAGCAUCGAGGACCUCCACAUAAGUGGAGCGACGCCGCAAAUCAACGAGCUAUUGAAAAACUGGGAAUAGUGCCCCGCGCCGGGAAAGAUGAAAAAGGCACAGGAGCCGCUGCUGAAGGUAUGGAAAACUAGGUCUGUUUUCUGGGACUUGGAGUACUGGCCCAAUCACGACACGCCUCAUCAAAUGCAUAUCACGAAGAAUGUCCUCGAGAGCUUGCUUGCCACACUGAUGAACAUGCUGGAGAAGACCAAGGACAGGCUGAAGGCAAGGAAAGACUUGGAAGAUUUGAAGACUAGGAAAUAUCUCCACCGCAAAAGUCGAUGGAGGAGACGAAGAUGGAGACGGAGGAGGGGGAAAGGGGCAGAAAAUUCAACAAGAAGGAGGAGAAUUAUUGCCCCCCUUCUUGCUUCACCUUAAGUGCGAAAGAUAUCGAUCAAUUCAUCAAGUGCCUUAUGGGAAUCAAAAUCAGCUCCGGUUACUGUGGAAGAUAAUAAGAUUUCUAGACCCCAAGAAGAAAAAGGUUCAGCGGGAUGAAGUAUCAUGACUAUCACGUGAUGAUGACGCAGAUACUCCUGGUUGCCAUUAGAGGGAUAAUGGACAAGCACGUCCGUGACACGCUUACUGGUCUCUGCAACUUCUUUGACGUUAUUUCUCGAAAGUCCAUAAGUGUGAAGCAGCUCCCAAGGCUACAGGAAGAGAUCGUUGUCAUACUAUGUGAGCUUGAGAUGUACUUCUGCUACGUCUUGAGCUUGUGUUGGUUUUCCUUGAGGAGGAAAGGGUGAUGUAGCAAUAGUAGCAUAAGUAUUUCCCUCAGUUUUUGAGAACCAAGGUAUUAAUCUAGUAGGAGGCUCCUCAAAAGUCCCACGCACCUACACAAACAAACAAAGAACUCGCAACCAACGCAAUAAAGGGGUUGUCAAUCCCUUCACGGCCACUUGCGAAAGUGAGAUCUGAUAAAGAUAGUAUGAUAAGAUAAAUAUAUUUUUGGUAUUUUAUAAUAUAGAUGCAAAAAGUAAAGAUGCAAAUAAAAGUAGAUUGAAAGCUUAUAUGAUAAAAGAUAGACCCGGGGGCCAUAGGUUUCACUAGUGGCUUCUCUCAAGAUAGCAUAAGUAUUACGGUGGGUGAACAAAUUACUAUCGAGCAAUUGAUAGAAAAGCUAAUAAUUAUGAGAUUAUCUAGGCAUGACCAUGUAUAUAGGCAUCACAUCCAUGACAAGUAGACCGACUCCUGCCUGCAUCUACCACUAUUACUCCACACAUCGACCGCUAUCCAACAUGCAUCUAGAGUAUUAAGUUCAUAAGAACAGAGUAACACUUUAAGAAAGAUGACAUGAUGUAGAGGGAUAAACUCAAGCAAUAUGAUAUAAACCCCAUCUUUUUAUCCUCGAUGGCAGCAAUACAAUACGUGCCUUGCAACCCUUUCUGUCACUGGGUAAGGACACCGCAAGAUUGAACCCAAAGCUAAGCACUUCUCCCAUGGCAAGAAAGAUCAAUCUAGUAGGCCAAACCAAACUGAUAAUUCGAAGAGACUUGCAAAGAUAACUCAAUCAUACAUAAAAGAAUUCAGAGGAGAUUCAAAUAUUUCUCAUAGAUAAACUUGAUCAUAAACCCACAAUUCAUCGGAUCUCGACAAACACACCACAAAAAGAGUUUACAUCGAAUAGAUCUCCACAAGAGAGGGGGAGAACAUGGUAUUGAGAUCCAAAAAGAGAGAAGAAGCCAUCUAGCUAAUAACUAUAGACCCGAAGGUCUGUGGUAAACUACUCACAACUCAACGAAGGGGCUAUGGUGUUGAUGUAGAAGCCCUCCAUGGCCGAUUCCCCCUCCGGCAGAGCACCGGCGAAGGCUCCAAGAUGGGAUCUCGCGGAUACAAAAGGUUACGGUGGUGGAAAUUGUUUUUCGUUGGCUCCCUGGAUGUUUUCAGGGUACGUAGGUAUAUAUAAGAGGAAGAAGUACAUCGGUGGCUGCUCGAGGGGCCCAGGAGACAGGGGAGCACGCCCAGGAGGGGUGGGCGCGCCAUCCUAUCUCCUGGCCACCUCGUUUGCUUCUUGACUUGCACUCCAAGUUCUCUGGAUCACGUUCAUUCCAAAAAUCAUGCUCCCGAAGGUUUCAUUCCGUUUGGACUCCGUUUGAUAUUCCUUUUCUUCGAAAUACUAAAAUAGGCAAAAAUCAGCAAUACGGGCUGGGCCUCCGAUUAGUAGGUUAGUCCCAAAAAUGAUAUAAAUGUGUAAAAUAAAUCCCAUAAACAUCCAAAAGGGGUAAUAUAAUAGCAUGGAACAAUCAAAAGUUAUAGAUAAGUUGGAGACGUAUCAAGCACCCCCAAGCUUAAUUCCUGCUCGUCCUCAAGUAGGUAAAUGAUAAAAACAGAAUUUUUGAUGUGGAAUGCUACCUAGCAUAAUAUGUAAUUUUCUUUAUUGUGGCAUGAAUGUUCAGAUCCAAAUGAUUCAAGAUAAAAGCUUAUAAAACAUAAAAAAUAAUAAUGCUUCGAAGCAUACUAACAAAUAAUCAUGUCCUAUCAAAAUAGCAUAGCCAAAGAAAGCUUAUCCCUACAAAAUCAUAUAGUUAGGCCAUGCUUCAUUUUCAUUACACAAAAUACUCCCAUCAUGCACAACCCCGGUUUCAGCCAAGCAAUUGGUUCAUACUUUUUAACGCGCUUCAGCUUUUUCAACUCUUACGCAAUACAUGAGCGCAAGCCAUGGACAUAGCACUAUGGUGGUAUAUGGUGGUGGUUGUGAGGACAAAAAGGGAGAAGAUAGUCUCACAUCAACUAGGCGUAUUAACGGGCUAUGGAGAUGCCCAUCAAUAGAUAUCAAUGUGAGUGAGUAGGGAUUGCCAUGCAACGGAUGCACUAGAGCUAUAAAUAUAUGAAAGCUCAACAAAAGAAACUAAGUGGGUAUGCAUCCAACUUGCUUGCUCACGAAGACCUAGGGCAUUUUGAGGAAGCCCAUCAUUGCAAUAUACAAGCCAAGUUCUAUAAUGAAAAAUUCCCACUCAGUAUAUGAAAGUGACAACAUAGGAAACUCUCUAUCAUGAAGACCAUGGUGCUACUUUGAAGCACAAGUAUGGAAAAAAAUAGUAGCAUUGUCCCUUCUCUCUUUUUCUCUCAUCUUAAUUUUUUUCUCUCUUUUUUUCUCUCUUUUUUUCUCUCUUUUUUUUCUUUUUUUUUCUUUUUUUUCUUUUUUUCUUUUUUUCUUUUUUUUUCUUUUUGGCCUUUCUCCUUUUUUUUGGCCUUUCCUUUUUUUAAAGCCCGAAGUCUCACCCCGACUUGUGGGGGAAUCAUAUCUUCAUCAUCCUUUCCUCACUGAGACAAUGCUCUAAUAAUGAAGAUCAUCACACUUUUAUUGAUUUACAACUCAAGAAUUACAACUCAAAACUAGAACAAGAUAUGCCUCUAUAUGAAUGCCUCCGGCGGUGUACCGGGAUAUGCAAUGAAUCAAGAGCGACAUGUAUGAAAAUUAUGAAGGUGGCCUUGCCACAAAUACGAUGUCAACUACAUGAUCAUGCAAAGAGCAAUAUGACAAUGAUGAGGUAUAUCAUAAUAAACGGAAUGGUUGAAAGUUGCAUGGCAAUAUAUCUCGGAAUGGCUAUGGAAAUGCCAUAAUAGGUAGGUAUGGUGGAUGUUUUGAGGAAGGUAAAUAAUGGGUGCAUGAUACCGGCGUAAGUUGUGCGGUAUAAUAGAGGCUAGCAAAGUGAAGGAUGAGUGUGCGUAUAUCCAUGGACUCACAUUAGUCAUAAAGAACUCAUAUACUUAUUGCAAAAGUCUACUUGCCCUCAAAGCAAAGUACUACUACGCAUGCUCCUAGGGGAAGGGUUGGUAGGAGUUAACCAUCGCGCAAUCCCGACCUCCACUCAUAAGGAAGGCAAUUAAAAGAGCACCUCAUGCAACAAAUUUGUCACACAACUUUUACCAUAUGUGCAUGCUACGGGACUUGCCAACUUCAACACAAGUAUUUCUCAAUUUCAUAAUUACCCACUAGAAUGACUCUAACAUUACUACCUCUAUAUCUCAAAACAAUUAUCAAGCAUCAAAUUGAUCAUAGCAUCCAAUUCACUUCCUAUGAUAGUUUUUAUUAUACCCAACUUGGAUGCCUACCAUUCUAGGACCAAUUUUAUAAGCAUAGCAAAUACCAUAAUGUUCUAAAAGACUCUCAAAAUAAUAUAAGUGAAGCAUGAGAGACUAGAAAUUUCUUCAAAAUUAAGCCACCGCCGUGCUCUAAAAGAUAUAAGUGAAGCACUAGAGCAAAAACUAUCAAGCUCAAAAGAUAUAAGUGAAGCACAUAGAGUAUUCUAGCAAAUUCUAAUCAAGUAUGCUUCUCCCAAAAGGUGUGUACAGCAAGGAUGAUCGUGGUAAACUAAAAAGCAAAUACUAAUAUAAUACACGACGCUCCAAGCAAAACACAUAUAAUGUGGCGAAUAAAAAUAUAGUUCCAAGUAAAGUUACCAAUGAACGAAGACGAAAGAGGGGAUGCCUUCCCGGGGCAUCCCCAAGCUUAGGCUUUUAGCUAUCCUUGAAUAUAUUAGGGUGUCAUGGCAUCCCCAAGCUUAGGCUCUUGCCACUCCUUAUUCCAUAGUCCAUCAAUGCUUUACCCAAAACUUGAAAACUUCACAACACAAAACUCAACAGGAAAUCUUAUAAGCUCCGUUAGUGAAAGGAAAACAAAAUCACCACAUAAGGUACUGUAAUGAACUCAUUCUUUAUUUAUUUUGGUGUUAAACCUACUGUAUUCCAAGUUCUCUAUGGUUCAUACCACUUAAUACUAGCCAUAGAUGCAUCAAAAUAAGCAAACAACACACGUAAAACAGAAUCUGUCAAAAAUAGAACAGUCUGUAGCAAUCUGUAACUAACGCAAACUUAUGGAACUUUAAAAAUCCUACCAAAAUAGGAAGUCCUGGACAAUUUAUGUAUUGAUCAGCAGCAAAAAUAAUCAAUGCAAAAUCAUGUUUCUGUGAUUUAACAAAACUAAUUUCGUGCGUGCGAAGUUUGUGUUUUUCAGCAGAAUCAAAUCAACUAUCAUCAUAGGUUGUCCUAUAGGUUCUACUUGGCACAAACACUAAUUAAGAGAUAAAAACACAUCUAAACAGAAGGUAGAUGAAAAAUUUAUUACUAAACAGGAACAAAAACAAAAAACACAAAUAAAAUUGGGUUGCCUCCCAACUAGCGCUAUCGUUUGACGCCCCUAGCUAGGCAUAAAAGCGAAGAUAGAUCUAAGUAGUGCCAUCUUUGGCACUCAAAUCAUAAGUAGCUCGCAUGAUAGAUUCAUAAGGUAAUUUGACUUUCUUUCUUGGAAAGUGCUCCAUGCCUUUCCUUAAUGGAAAUUGGAAUCUAAUAUUCCCUUCCUUCAUAUCAAUAAUCGCGCCAAUCAUUCUAAGGAAAGGUCUACCAAGAAUAAUAGGGCAAAAAAGAUUGCAAUCUAUAUCAAGAACGAUAAAAUCUAUGGGCACCAAAUUUCUAUUUCAACAAUGAGAACAUCAUUGACCCUUCCCAUUGGCUUUUUAAUGGUGGAAUCCGCAAGGUGCAAAUUUAAAGAGCAAUCAUCAAGAUCAUGGAAACCUAGAAUAUCACAUAAAGUUUUCAUAAUCAUGGAAACACUAGCACCCAAAUCACACAAAGCAAAACACUCAUGAUCUUUAAUUCUAAUUUUUGUAGUAGGUUCCCACUCAUCAUUAAGUUUUCUAGGUAUAGAAACUUCCAAAUUAAGUUUUUCAUCAAAAGAUUGCAUCAAGGCAUCAACAAUAUGUUUGGUAAAAGCUUUAUUUUGACUAUAAGCAUGAGGAGAAUUAACAACGGAUUGCAACAAGGAAACACAACCUUCUAAAGAACAAUUGUCAUAAUCAAAUUCCUUGAAAUCCGAGAUAGUGGGUUCAAUGCUAUUUAAAGUCAUGACCUCUCCAAUCCUACUUUUACAAAAUUUAGCAUCAAGAUCUAAAAACUCUGAAUUCUUGGGACGCCUUCUAACUAAAGUUGACUCAUCUCCAGUCCCAUUAUUAUCAAGAUUCAUAUUGCAAAACAAAGAUCUAAUAGGAGACACAUCAAUAACUUUAAGAUCUCCAUCAUUAUUUUCAUCUAACUUUUCUGGUUUGGCAGCCAUCUUAUUGACUAAGGUAGCUUGCUUAUCAAAAAUUUGGGCUAUAGCAUUCUCAAGCCAGGUAAUUUGAGAGUUCACACCAUAAAAUUCCUUAUUCAUAUCAUCGAGCUCCUUAUUCAUAAACCCCAAAAAACCUUUUUUUUCUUUAAGCUCUUUUCUGAAGAAAUUAUUAUGCUCAAAUUGCAAAGUCAUAAAGCUUCUAAUAUUUGAUUCAAUCUCUCCCAACCUUCUAAGAAGGAGGUCGGUACUCUUAGGCAAGGCCAUAAGUACAAACAGGCACACAAGCAAACAGAAAAAGGCAAGCGAAAAAGAGAGGAGAAGAUUGGGAAAGAGAGGGCGAAUAAAACGACAAGGGUGAAGUGGGGGAGAGGAAAACGAGAGGCGAAUGACAAAUAAUGUAAAUGCGAGGGAGAUGAGUUUGUGAUGGGUACUUGGUAUGUCUUGACUUGAGUGAAGACCUCCCCGGCAACGGCGCCAGAAAUCCUUCUUGCUACGUCUUGAGCUUGGGUUGGUUUUCCUUGAAGAGGAAAGGGUGAUGCAACAAUAGUAGCGUAAGUAUUUCCCUCAGUUUUUGAGAACCAAGGUAUCAAUCCAGUAUGAGGCUCCUCAAAAGUCCCACGCACCUACACAAACAAACAAAGAACUCGCAACCAACACAAUAAAGGGGUUGUCAAUCCCUUCACGACCACUUGCGAAAGUGAGAUCUGAUAAAGAUAGUAUGAUAAGAUAAAUAUAUUUUUGGUAUUUUAUAAUAUAGAUGCAAAAAGUAAAGAUGCAAAUAAAAGUAGAUUGAAAGCUUAUAUGAUAAAAGAUAGACCCGGGGGCCAUAGGUUUCACUAGUGGCUUCUCUCAAGAUAGCAUAAGUAUUACGGUGGGUGAACAAAUUACUAUCGAGCAAUUGAUAGAAAAGUGAAUAAUUAUGAGAUUAUCUAGGCAUGACCUUGUAUAUAGGCAUCACGUCCAUGACAAGUAGACCGACUCCUGCCUGCAUCUACUACUAUUACUCCACACAUCGACCGCUAUCCAACAUGCAUCUAGAGUAUUAAGUUCAUAAUAACAGAGUAACGCAUUAAGAAAGAUGACAUGAUGUAGAGGGAUAAACUCAAGCAAUAUGAUAUAAACCCCAUCUUUUUAUCCUCAAUGGCAACAAUACAAUACGUGCCUUGCAACCCUUUCUGUCACUGGGUAAGGACACCGCAAGAUUGAACCCAAAUCUAAGCACUUCUCCCAUGGCAAGAAAGAUCAAUCUAGUAGGCCAAACCAAACUGAUAACUCAAAGAGACUUGCGAAGAUAACUCAAUCAUACAUAAAAGAAUUCAGAGGAGAUUCAAAUAAUUCUCAUAGAUAAACUUGAUCAUAAACCCACAAUUCAUCGGAGCUCGACAAACACACCGCAAAAAGAGUUUACACCGAAUAGAUCUCCACAAGAGAGGGGGAGAACAUGGUAUUGAGAUCCAAAAGGAGAGAAGAAGCCAUCUAGCUAAUAACUAUAAACCCGAAAGUCUGUGGUAAACUACUCACAACUCAUCGGAGGGGCUAUGGUGUUGAUGUAGAAGCCCUCCAUGGUCUAUUCCCCCUCCGGCGAAGCACCGGCGAAGGCUCCAAGAUGGGAUCUCGCGGAUACAGAAGGUUACAGCGGUGGAAAUUGUUUUUCGUUGGCUCCCUGGAUGUUUUCGGGGUACAUAGGUAUAUAUAGGAGGAAGAAGUACGUCGGUGGCCGCUCGAGGGGCCCAGGAGACAGGGGGCGCGCCCAGGAGGGGUGGGUGCGCCCUCCUAUCUCAUGGCCGCCUCGUUUGCUUCUUGACUUGCACUCCAAGUUCUCUGGAUCACGUUCAUUCCAAAAAUCACGCUCCCGAAGGUUUCAUUCUCUUUGGACUCCGUUUGAUAUUCCUUUUCUUCGAAAUACUAAAAUAGGCAAAAAUCAGCAAUACGGGGUGGGCCUCCGGUUAGUAGGUUAGUCCCAAAAAUGAUAUAAAUGUGUAAAAUAAAGCCCAUAAACAUCCAAAAGGGGUAAUAUAAUAGCAUCAAACAAUCAAAAAUUAUAGAUACGUUGGAGACGUACCAACUUCCUGCCCGCGUUCUUUGACGUCAUGGUGCAUCUGUGUGUCCACGUCAUGGACGACCUCAUCGACCUCGGGUCGACAUUCGUUCAUAGCAUGAUGUCGUUCGAGAGGAUGAAUGGGGUCAUCAAAGGAUUCGUUCAUAACAUGUCCCAUCCCGAUGGGAGCAUCGUCCAGGGGUAUCUGACGCAUGAGUGGAUCUCCUUUUGCGAGAAUUGUAUAGGCACCGGAGACCCUGUUGUUGGUUUGCCCGUCAAGAAGCACGAUGGGAGGCUCGAAGGAGAAGGUGACAACAAUAGCCGGAGGGAAUUGCACGUGGACUACUCGGAUUGACGGAACGACUUUGACAGGGCUAACUUAGUAGUGCUACAACACCUACAUGUGGUAGAUGAUUAUGUGGCAUGGCACAAAGAAAGCAUCGCAAAGAAGUACCGUGAUAAGGGGAUGCUCAAGACGGACGACGAAGUUACUGUAGAGCACAAUGCUACAUUCUUGCGUUGGUUCAAAGAGCAAGUUCUUAAAAAUCCCCCGGAAGAGGUCAGUUUGGAUGGAUUGCUCAUACACACCUUAGCACAUGGCCCAACGCCCAAAACCACGACCUAUCAGUCAUACGAUAUCAACGGGUACAUGUUCUACACGGAGGCCAAAGACAUGGACAGUGAUUACCAGAACUCCGGCGUGACAAUUGAAUGUGUGACCGAUGCCAACGGCACAACUGGAAGAUUCUACGGAAGGGUCGAAGAGAUCUGGGAGCUUGACUAUGCUGGAAUGCUUGAUGCGACGAUGUUUCGUAUCAGAUGGGCUAAGGACGUCGUAAGAGAAAAUAAGUAUUUCACUACCAUGUGUAUACCCGACACGAAGAGCACUCCCGUGAACAUUAACGUCAUUGCCAAAAAUGAGGCAUGAGUACACGCUAAGCAUGUGACACAAUGCUUCUUCAUAACCGACCCGGCCAAUCCCAGCCGCUUUGUCGUGAGGAGAGGCAAAAGGAGCAUGGCUGAAGUCUCUUCUUCGUCUCGAGGCGCCCAGUAUCACACCAAUGCCACCUUCUCAAGAAGGUAUGAACACCACCCCACCUACCAAAUUACCUACACCUGUCGUGGCGGGUGAUAGCAGACAACGCAAGGGAGAGCCUCCAUUAGUGCCAGAUGAUGUCGCCCCCAUUGUCGAAGAAGCAAAUGUUGAUGAUGACAUGGAGGAGGAUGAUGAUGACCCAGACAAGUAUUUCAAUACCGCCUAUGAUGAUGGAGGAUUGAUGGCUCAGGAGGACGAAGACUCGGGCUAUAAUCAUGGAGACGAUGACUUGAUGCUGCCUGAUUUGCCAGAGCCGGAAUGUCCUAAGGCAGAAUGCAAAAAGUCUCUCUUCAAGCGAUCCUCACAGGAGACGCCUCCAGAUUCCGCCUCUACCCAGCAACAACCCGAGGGACAUCCACUGAUUAGCCCAAUGACACUAGGGGGUGGUUAGGGAAGGUAUGGUGGGCUCACUACCGCCACUCACCAAGAAGAAAACGAGGAGACCCGACAGGAAAGGCCCUAAAGGCGCCAGAGUUGCUUCAAGUAGCCAACCGCCUCUGAAGCCUCGGGUGGUAGACAGAAUACCCGUCGAAGGUGCGAAUCGUUUCCAUGUCACCGGCGAACCGAUCCUACCUACGAAAGCGCUAGAGCACAUACUGAACAAUGAUCUAGGAGAUUCCAUGAAGAUCUGCCGGCCAGAGAGAAAAGUCUUCUCAUCUUGGAAAAACCAGGAUACCCGCUUUACGCAGCUCAGGUGCCGGGUGGGAAGUUGUACGUUGAGAGAUGGCCCGCGGAUAAGUUCAUCCUAUGAUUUGACUACAUCUACGACAUGUUCCACAUGACCAAGCUAGAUUUCUAGUUCAUCCGCAUGUAUUCGCCGUAUCUCAACUACUUCAUCAGGAUCGAGAACAUAAAAUAUUUGCAUCGCGGACCCAUACUAUAUGCACGAGAGCUUCUUCGAAGUAUGCAAAGAGCACCGUGACUAUGCGAGCAGGUACAUCACGGACUUCAUGAUUGCUAAUAAGGACAAGGAAGCGAUGCUCCUGCCUUAUCAUCCCACGUAAGUCAUCCACGCAUAUCCUUUCAUAAGUGUGAAUCAUUCCUUUGCAAUCAUGGAGGCUAAUUUGAGGUGUACUUCAUUUGCGCAGUGGGGGGAGUGUCCUCAUCGUUUUGUACUCAGAAUACUCCCAUGCUAUGUACUUGGAAUCAUCGAACAACAUCAAGAAAAAGGAUUACAAGCACAUAAAGAGUGUUCUCGAUAGGGCCCUAUUAACCUUCAGCCUAUCUGGUGGAUAUAUCAAGCUGAAAAAGUACAGGAAGAACGGGGUGGUUUUCGGCCAUAAGACUGACUUCUGCUGCAUCUAGCAACCGCACACCAGUAAGGCUAAUGGAUUCUACCUCAUGCAUCACCUGCUCGAGUACAGAAGGGAUAAUCAACGCCUUCGCAUGUCAGCUACUACCAACAAUGACAAGAUUGUCAACUGGGCCACAAGCAUAGGAAAGACACCGGAUCAUCGAAUCCGAGUUGAGUUUUAUCAUGUACAGUGUGAACUUGCCCGAGUGAUCAUGAAGAAGGUCCUCGAACCAAUAGGGAUAUUCUACCAUGGGCCAAUCACGCAGGAUGAUGUCCGAGCACUGCUUGACGCUUAGUGUCUGGACCUGAAGCCUUUCAAGAAGCUUGGGUGCUUCCUCCCUGACUAUGAAGAUUGGAACGCCGACAUGGAGGACUAAUUGUCGAUGACAAUGUGUCACUACUGUCUUUCUACCGCAAAACUUUGAAUUUAUGCACGGCGAAACUACGUGAUGUAAUUAAAUCGUGGUCCUGAGCUAGCGUAGAUCGCUCUAGUUAAUUAGUUUGGGUAUGAGGAACUUCGUCAUUUAUGUUUACUAUAGCUUGCUUGUAUUUUUCUAAUUAUGCCUCUUUGUUUCCUUAAGUACAUUAUGUUGCAUAUUAUCGUUCAAUUCAUCAACUGAUGAUGCAGGUACAUAGAUCAGAGAUGGUGAAGGACUGCUACACCGUGUUCGUCUGGAGGGUUCCAGGAGUCUACGACCACUGGCCAGACGCUCAGGCCUAGGUGGACAACUACCCGGGUGCUAGCCACAAAGGGUUUGACAGCAAAGCUGAAGCAAAGUAGUUACUUGACGUGGACGCUCCGGCAAGAGCGAGGGCGGGACGCCGGUGCCUCAAGUACUACAUAGUCGCGGUCUUGCUCAUGCUGAUCGCUCUUCUCUUCUACAUCAUGAUUUAGAUAGAGAUGAUGAAACUUGUGCGUGUGACAUGACCAUGCAGUUGCACUUAUUCGAGACAUGACAUGACUUGUGUAUCGCUAUUUUUGAGAUGUGAUGAUAUUUUUGUUGAAUGAUGAUGAUGAUGACGGUAUGACGAGACUAUUGUAUGUGUAUGAUAUGAUGAGAAUAGUGUAUGUUUAUUGUGAUCUGAUGAAACUACUGUAUAAAGCCUAUACAAAUACAUCACAAAUACGUAGAGGAGGUAUGAGUCUAUGAAAGCAGGAGUAUUAGCAGUAGCGCUUGACUUUCUACAGCGAGAUAGUUAGCAGUAGCACUGGUUAGUGCAGCGCUACUGGUAACCAUACUUUGCAGCAGCACUGCACCAACCAGUGCUACUACUACAACUUAGCUGUAGCGUGUUAGCAGUAGCGCUGGACCUAGCGCUACUGAUAUAUGUAUUUCAAGCGCUACUACUGGGUUUUCCCUAGUUGUGUUAGCAAGGUUAUCUCUAGUCAUGAAUUUGUUGUGUGAGAGAAGCCAUAGAAAAACUUGCACCCUAGAGGAACCACAAUAGACCAAACAGAGGGUAUGUAUAUAUCCCCUAAAGUUUAUUAUACUAUACAAAGAUCUAGUGGUGUAUUUUCCCUUGGAAUCAUGUUGCCAGACAAGGUCAUCUUCAUCGCAUAGGAAGUUGGUACUCAAAAUGAUUUGCUCAUGGUGUUGGAAGUAUGCCCUAGAGGCUAAUUUAGAGUUAAUAUUCUAUGCCAUAACUGCUAUGAUCCUUGAAUAUGCGAUUCAGUGGAAAACUCAUAUGCACGUAUAUAAUGAUAAAUGGUAAAAUAAGAUUCCUAGUCACGCCUCUAAGACUUGCUCAAGUGUUGUUGGUGAUCACGUUUCCUAGAUCUUGAGAUAUUGUUAAGUGUGUAAGGAUAUUCUCAAAACAAUCUUGAGGGUAUGCCGUAAGAAGAACGAUCAUAUUGAAUCGACCCAAACUUGUUUGUUAUACUUUGAGAUAAUAUAGUCAUAAGUCAAUUGCUAUAACUCGGACUGUUAACUUGCGAUUUUAGUUCCCUAGACCAUGAGAGUAUCGUAGUCACUUCUUAUCGUACGAUGAGCUUUGGGGUUGCUCAAACGUCAUCAGUAAUUUGGUGAUCAUAAUGACAACUUACAGGUUCAUCAGAAAGUAUGACAAGUGAAAUGAUAGCUCAAGAGUGGAAUUUGCUCCGCUGACGAUGGAGAGAUAUUCUUAGGUCCCUCUCGAUGUAACAACAUCCAUCAUCGUCUGGCCAAACACAUGUCACUUCCUCACGGGGAUGCCGGAACACGAUAAGAAGAAGGAAGAACAAAACCGGCAAUGUGGAGACCGGUAUAGUGAGCAUGUGUAUGACUCAAGAGUAUAACAAUAUAUCUCUCGGGUUUUGUAAAGUAUAGAGAAGCAAAGGAAACAUCGUGCGAUAACCAAAGGUUCAAUUCAAUGUCAUUCGUGUAAUCAUAGGGAUCGAUAUGGACGUCCACGGUUCCGCUAUCAGUCAUUGAACAAAGGGGUUUCAUUAAUGUCUAUGGUUUACGGAACCUAUAGGGUCACAAGCUUAAGGUAAUCACGAUCCGAUGAGUGUUAGUAGGACAAGAGUAUCGGGGAUUUAAUUGUGAAAUAGUUUCUUUAAUAUCCGGAAUAGUUCCUAGAGGAACCGGAAGCAUUUCGGGGUCAUCGGAAGAGUUUCAGAGUUUAUUGGGCAAUACCGGUAUUACUCAUAUAUAAUAUGUAGGUGGAAAAUGUUCCUACUGAUGUUAAAUUAUAUAUAAAAGGCUCUAGUAAUUUUUGGAGGGCUUUAUAAUUAUUUAAAUAUCAACGNNNNNNNNNNNNNNNNNNNNNNNNNNNNNNNNNNNNNNNNNNNNNNNNNNNNNNNNNNNNNNNNNNNNNNNNNNNNNNNNNNNNNNNNNNNNNNNNNNNNNNNNNNNNNNNNNNNNNNNNNNNNNNNNNNNNNNNNNNNNNNNNNNNNNNNNNNNNNNNNNNNNNNNNNNNNNNNNNNNNNNNNNNNNNNNNNNNNNNNNNNNNNNNNNNNNNNNNNNNNNNNNNNNNNNNNNNNNNNGGAACCCAACUCCUCCUUCCCUUGGUCGGCUCCCCAAGGAGGCUUUCCCUCCUUGCUGGCUGCCCUUCUCUCUCCCCCACUAGUGGAGGUAUUGCCCCUUUUCUUCAUACAAGUUUUACCUGCCUCCCUAGCCCAAUACUACUAGUUCUAAUUCAGAUAAUUAGAGCUAGAUCUAGUUCCUCUAAUCCUUAUAAUUAGAAGCCUUGAGUGGCUCUAAUCUUCUCUAAUUCUCUGGCGGCAAUUAGUUCUGGACGGUGAAGCGCUGCCGGAUCGUGAAGGUCGUAUGCUUGCAAACUGUAGAGGGGUCGUGCUUUCGGUCUUCAGUUCGAGGCGGUUCGCGGGAUCGUUCAUUAAUAGUUCGAGGGACUCCAAGUACAAUCUACACCGACUCGUCUGGUUCCGCUGCAUACUUGGAGUUGGUAAUGAUCAUGAUUCAAUUCCCUAAUGCACCUUCAUAUUGUUCCCGGGUGUCGGAAGGCCAAUUUGUUUUAUACUACGUUCCCCAACACAAGGCACAACUUUCCAUCAUGACAGCGUGAAGACCCACCCCUCCCCCACCCACCCACCCCCCGUGCGCGAAGUCAACCUGAUGGUAUUUUUAUCCUAGGCAUGUACUAGGGUCACACCAUGUUGAUGACAAAUUAAAGGGGCCAGAAUUGUACUGAUAAUGCAGAUGUGCCAAAGCAUAUAUCUUCCCAAAAUCCGAUUAUCCUACCAUCUCAAACCACCCAUGUGUAGCCUUGUUUAAGUGAUUUGGCAGCCCACAUGACUCCUUGUCAAAAUUUAGAGGGGUUUUGUGUGGUACAAGAAAACAUAUUAGGCGUGUUCCUUAUGUACUUAACAUCUACUAUUCAUCUCCAAUUUCCCCCCUCAUCUUUUAUUUAUCUCUUGACCCAGCUUCCAAGGAGGCAGAGAUUUACAUGUCUGAUGUUUGGCACUCCUAAUCGUCCAUAUUUUUAUUUCAUACAAACUAAGUUCCAAUUGGAAAUGUAUAAUUUUCUAUUUCCUUCAAAGUCACUCCAAAGGCACUGAGCUAGUUGGCUAUUUAUUAGCUUCGAAGCCCACUUGGGGAACUUUUUGGGCCAUCUUAUCUGACAAAUAGACCCAACGACAUUGUCAGAUCAAACUCCGGAUUAAUCCUACAUGACCACAUUAUAGAUCAACCCUACUAUAGGUCCACUAUCGAGUCACGGGCUUGCAGCACAACCUCAAUCAAAAGUGCUUUAGCUUGUUGUACCUUGUUACAGCGCCGCCGUCUCAGCACCUUCCGGAAAACCUGCAGCAACAUCUCAAAAAUAUUUGUUUUGAAAGUUGUCGAUAGAACUUGAAGAGCUUGCCAACAAAGAGGACCACACGAGUCCUAGUAUCAGGUGACACUUAGUGUUUAAUGGAUCCGAAUAGCAAUUAGUGUUUAGUGGGUCCGACAAAAUAAUAGCUUUUAUUAAAAAUAUAUAUUAAAUGUAUGUAUCUACCGUAUAAUAAAUAAAUAGGACAUCAAAUGAGCUCUGAAUUAGAUGAAAUUUUAGGUGUAGCCUCUCUAGGCUAUAAUGAGACCACACAGAAAAUAAUCAAACCAUUUGGAGAAUUUUUAAUUUUUGUUUGAAAUUAAAUUACAAAAAUGACAUAAAUGUGAUUUGAACUAGGGCUGUGUGCAAGACUUGUGCAAAAAUUGUGAAAUAUUUUCUGGGGCUUUCAAAUAUUAUACAAAGUCCAUGUGAAAAGUUGGGACUCUUAUCUUAAUGUACAAGGACAAAAGGGAAAAUGGUUUUGGUAAAACCCAAAUAAAUUAAACGGUAAAAUAAUUUGCUUUUAUGUGUUUGAUAUUUUUGUUAUGCGUGUUGAGAAUAAUGCAUAGUGAAAUGAUGGCAUCAUGUCAUGAUGAUGCAAAAUAAAAUAACAGACAUUUAUUUUAGUUAAGGAAUUAGUCUAUUCUAUUACAACCAUCUAAAAAUUUCUCUAUGGAUGGCGCAUUAGCUGCAAAAGUACCCUUCUACUCCCGAGCUCAAAUAGCUCGGGAUGAACAGUAAAUUCUGAAACCAAAAAAAAUCUCAAAGUUUUUUGGUGCAAACUUUCACAAAUGUUCUCAGUGCAUGGAAAUUUUCAGCUCGAAACAACACUUGUAGAACGCGUGGCAAAAGAAAAAAAAAUCAGCACCCCAAAAUGCUUUCAAAAAUAUCAUUUUUGGAGAUUCGAUUUUGUUUUUUACCACGACUUCUAGGAUUGUUGUUUUAUAAUAAUUUUUUGCAAGCACAUUUGUCAAAGUUUGCACUAAAAAAACAGUUUUUUUAUUUUUUUUGUACUAUUUUUUUGAUUUUACUGUUUAUCAGGGUGCAUUUGAGCUCGGGUGUAGAUACUUCGUGUCCCAUUAGCUGAGAAAAUAACUAGCCCUCUUCUAGCGCAACAAAACUCAAUCUUCCUUUCAUGUACGUGCAUGACUUUAAUGUAAAACUGGUAACUCCUUCAAGGUUGACUAUGAAUCGACUCCUACGCACGGUAGCUCGUGGGAGCGGGCAACACAUGCUCGAAGGCGCUCCUAUAGGUCCAAGGUUGCCAGAAUCAUGAUUUAGAAUCGGAUAGGAACUCCGAUGGUAGGAUUGUAAAUCAUAGAAGCUGAACUAUCAUCAUCGUAGAAACGUAGAUUCCAUGAACUAGAAUCGCAAAAUUGGAUGGGUUAAUUUGGAUCGUAAAAUCGUAUAAUAGAAUCGCGAUUCUCACAACCUUGGAUAGGUCUACUGGCUACCGCAUGCAAGCGCAUUUUUCUUAGACAAACUCUAGCAAAGUAGUCAUAUUUGGAGCCUCUAUAUCCAUAGCGCGCUCCAUAUGGAUUAUGGAGGUCACCAAGGAAAAUCGCACAAAGUCAGAAUCCUCAUAUUUGUUGCCUCUAUAACCAUGGGACCCACUCAUCUAUGGGACAUUCCUUUUUUCCCAAGCUUCUUGCAAUCCCACGUGAGGUGGGGAGCACCUAAAGUUUCCUUCCCAUCACACGGAACGAGAGGUAAUUUUCAUAUGGAGCACGCUCCAAAAGGCAGCCCCGAGACACCAUAUAUGACAUGCUAGAUAUGGAGGGUACUCCAUAAAAUAUAAAUGAUCCCUGACAAGAUGGAAACUUUGCCAGAGGGCCUUUUUGACCAAAGUUUCCAUAAUAGAGAUUAUUAUGGCGAUCGGUCAUAUAUAGCCACUCUCAUAGAAUUUCUCUUAAAGGUGCCACGUGAGUCUCUCACGUUCUGUGGCAUGUAGAACUGGUAACCGACAUGUUAGGCUACACAUGUUUUCCCACUGCACAAUGUGCUUCAGUUGUCUGUCACAUGGUGGUGCUGGAUUGUGGGUUAUGCGGUCUACCCUUAAAUUCACCAUAUUUGUGGUACCGCUAACAAUUGCAUAUUAAGCCGAGAGGGUAGGAACCUAUUUAUGGACUAUAUUUGCGCCACAAAAGUACGGAUGCCAUGAGUUAUGUCAUGGAUCAUGAUUAAACACGACAGUUCUAUGAGUCUAAUAUUAUAGUCUCUAGCAUACCUGUGCGAGUUAUGUUCAUGAUCACUUUGCGUAUAUGAGAUUAAGUUCCAAUCCAAGCAUGUGGGUCAACACCUUGCAGAACUAACCCUGCAAAACGAACCCAACUCUUCCACCAUGAUUGUAAACGUAUAUACAUAUUAAUUUCACUAGAGUCAACCUCAAGUAAUUCCUCUAUUGUAUUCCAGCACAGUUCUCCUCGACACCUCCAGUAUUGCUUCCACAAAUAAAAUUACAUCUACAUCGGCACCUCAAGUAUUACUUGUCGAGUAUAAUUUUGCAUCUAUUAUUCUCCAUCAUGUACAUCAAUAAUAUGAACAAUCCAAAUCGAGUUUAAUAAAUAAUAACCAUGUUGAAUCAAUGUUGGAAGUCACAAAAAUACCCCACAAAGGAUGCUGUUUUUCUAGUCUUUCUUCGCAUGAUAGUUUACAAAAUUAUAUAAGUUUGAAAUUUCAAAAUAAUUUUGAAAGUUGAAAGUGUUUUAAAAGAAAAUAAAAUGAAAGUCAAGAUUUCUGAAAUUUAUUUUUGAAAGUACAAAUUUGGAAUGCAAUUUUUUUGAAAUUUCAAAGAUCCGGAGCAGACACACCGUCCACGAUCUAGCUCACAUUGUUGUGGUCGUCCUCCUCUUGCACGCAGCUCCAACAAGUAAUCGCUCAUGUAGUCACGUCCAUGUUGGUCAUGCACUAGCUCGCAUGUGUCGCCGCGUCAUCAGGGAAAGUAUCCCGCAACAACGAUGGCCACCAGACCAUAUCCCACACCAAUUUGACCACAUACCGCAUGCGACGCCAUGAAAAAACCAUGGCACCCAUGGGUUUUGCCUCACAGCGUCCUACGGCGAUGGGAAGGAGGAGAAGCAGUGGGACGGGUGAAUUGCUAGGUUGGGGCGCCAAAUCAAUGCCUCUUUGAUACUCAAAACGCCGGGAUAGAAAAAAAAUCAAGGAUUGUAGUGACAUGUCAUCUUGAAUCCCGCCGAAUUAGAAAACUAGGAGAAUUCGGAUAAAAUAGUGUUUGAUGCCACCAUAAAAGCAAAGGAAAUAUACCAAGAGAUUUUAGUGGAUGCGUAUUUUUCUCCAAAAUAAAGUGCUAAUGAAUUCUAAGGAAAAUUACUACGCAUUUCAAUCCUAUGAAUCGAGUAGCCAACAGAGAAAAAAAAUCCUAUAAAAUUCUUUGAAUGAAAGCACUUGCCCUCUCGUAUGCUUGGUCUAGUUACGUUCGUUGUCGUCACAUGCCGACACUUUCGAUCUGCAUCUCCUUAAGGCUUAAGCAAACAAUACCAUUUUUGCAAGUGAAAAAAAGGAUCACAUGUUUUUGGGGGAAUCAUCUUCUUCCCGGACGAGGACGAAUGAGGUGGGACGUGGAGACCGGGACGCGCCCGCUGCCUUCCGAGGCCCGGCUCCUCUAGUCGGCAGCCACCUGCCGACCAACUCAUGCAAGCACACGUAGCGCCCCUGCCACGGCGAUUCGUCCAUCUGACCACCCCUCAUUAUGGGCUAGUCGGCAGUCACCUGCCCAUCCACUCACGAGAGAACACGUCGUGCUUCAUCUAUCCUCUGACGGCCUAUAAAUAGUGCCUCGUGGAGCACCUGCUUCACAGUUCACACAACACCACCUGCUCCAAGUAAACACUAAACAGCAGCACUAGUAGAUUUCCCGAGUGACAAGUUUGGCGCAGGAUGGAGCACCAGGGACACGGCACCGGCGAGAAGAAGAGCAUCAUGAGCAAGAUCAAGGAGAAGCUCUCCAGCAGCCACGGUGAUCACCAGCAGGCCGCUGCCACCCACGGGCAGCAGGGACACACCACUACGGCCAUCGAUGGUGCCUACGGGCAGCACGGACACACCGGAGCCACCGGCACUGGGAUGCACGGCGCCGACACGGGCGAGCAGAAGAGCGUCGCGGAGAACAUCAAUGACAAUCUCCCUGUCGGCCAUGGGGACCACCAGCAGACUGGUGGCACCGACGGGCAACAGGGACACACCGCCGCGGCGACGCAUGGUGCCUCAGCCAUCGGCGGCACCUAUGGCCAGCAGGGUAACACCGGUAUGGGGACACUUGGCGCCCCGGCCGCUGAUGGUGCGUACGGGCAGCAGGGACACACUGGGGCCACCGGCACGGCGAUGCACGGCGGCGGCACGGGCGAGAAGAAGGGCGUCAUGGAGAACAUCAAUGACAAGCUCCAUGGUGGUCAUGAGGACCACCAGCAGACUAGUGGCACCUACGGGCAGGAGGGACACACUGAUGCGGCGACGCAUGGCGCCUCAGCCACCAGCGGCACCUAUGGGCAGCAGGAAAACACCGGUAUGGGGACACAUGGCGCCCCUGCCACUGAUGGUGCCUAAGGGCACCACGGACACACCGGGGCCAUCCGGACGGAGAUGCACGGCGCCAACACAUGCGAGAAGAAGGGCGUCAUGGAGAACAUCAAUGACAAGCUCCCUAGUGGCCAUGGGGACCACCAGCAGACUGGUGGCACCUACGGGCAACAGGGAUACACCAAUGCGGCGACGCAUGGCGCCUUACCCACUGGUGGCACCCAUGUGCAGCAAGGAAACACUGGUACGGGGACAUAUGGCGCCCCGGCCACCGAUGGUGCCUACAGGCAGCACGGACACACAGGGGCCACUGGCACGAGGAUGCACGACACCGACACCGGGGAGAAGAAGGGCAUCAUGGAGAACAUCAACGACAAGCUUCCUAGUGGCGACGAAGACCACCAGCACACCGCUGGCACUUACGGGCAGCAGGGACAAACAGGCACGACAAUGCAUGGUGCCUCAGCCACGGGCGACACCUAUGGCCAGCAGGGACACACCGAAAUGUCCGGCACGGGGACGCACGCAUCAGCCAGAAAAAGGACGUGAUGGAGGACAUCAAGGCCAAGCUCCCAGGUGGCCAUGAUGAUCGCCAUCAGACCGGUGACACCUAUGGGCAGCAUGGACACACCAACACUGCAAUACAUGUCACCCUUGCCACCGGCGACACCUAUGGGCGGCAGGGACACACCAGGAUAACCGACAUGGGAACAUACGGCACCGGCGAGAAGAAGGGCGCCAUGGAGAAGACCAAGGAGAAGCUCCCCAGUGGCCACGGUGACCACCAACAGACUGGUGGCACCUACGGGAGCCAGGAAGACACCGAAAUGACUGGAAUGGGGAUGCAUAGCACCAAGGCCACAGAUGGCACAGAUGGUCAGCAGGGACACACCGGAAUGACUGGGAUGGCGUCACACGACACCGACGAGACGAAGGGUGUCAUGGAGAACCUCAAGGGGUGUUAGACUAGGUAUAUUGUAGAUCUACGUGUUGUAACACAAUACAUGUACCUGUACGUUCUUUCUUAUAUAUACAUGACAGUCGUACCCGUUUAGGGUAUCGAGCAUUGUUCCAAACCCUAGCUUUGUCUAACAUGGUAUCAGACGACGCGUUCGAUCCGCGCCGUGCUUUCGCCUCCUCUGCCGCCGUCGCGUCGGCCUCCGCCGCCGUGCCGCCUCCGUCAACCCUGGCGAUGGACUCGCCGUUCAUGGCGUCCGCACCACUCGCCUGGGCCCGUCCGGGAUCGCAGCACCCGCCUGCGUCCCGAUCGCCCGCGCCCCGAUCGGGCGAGAUUCCAUCUGGCGAUCCAGCUGGUGCUCCUGUGCAGUCGAUGUACGCCGGGACUCAGCUCCCCCCUCGAUGCAUCUGGCGCUCGGACUACGUCGCGGCUGCCCUAUGUUGCGUCCCAGUUGCAUGCUGCGGCGCCUCCGUUGCAUGAUGCGUCGGCCGCCUCCGGUUCCCAUGCAACAUCGCUACACUCUGGGCCUGCAUUGCAUGCUGUGGCGCCCGCCUCCGGUUCCCAUGGUGCCCCCGUACAGAUGCCCUACGGUGGCCCAUAUCCAGCACCGUACGUCGCGCCGUCGCCGUCGCCGUACGUCGCGCCGGUGCCGUAUGAUUCGUCCUCCGCGGUGCCCUACGAGGUUCCGUAUGGAGCGCCCUAUGCUGCCCCGGUGCCGUACGUUGCGUCGCUGCAGCCCUACGGCGUACCUCCUACGGCGCCCUACGGUCAUCACCAACACUACCGUACACCUCCGUUGGCCGAUGCGCUGAUUUCGUACAGUGCUCCGCCGACGUACGACUCGUAGCUCUCCGCACCGGUGGCUGAACCAGGACCGUUCCACUUAGCUCUCUGCCGACAACUACCUCCUGUGGCGUGCUCAGGUGUUGCCGCUGCUGCGUAGUCACUACCUUGAGGGGUAUGUCGACGGUACACUGCCGUGUCCCCCGGCCAUGGUUCCGGUGCCCUCAGCCGCUGGUGUCUCCGUCAUGGUGUCCAACCCUGCUCAUCGUCGGUGGAUCGCUCAGGAUCAAGCUAUUCUUGGUGCCAUUCAGUCCUCGCUCACUCCCUCCGUGGCCGGCAUGGUGGUCUUUGCCGCGACGUCGAGGGAUGCAUGGGCCACGCUCGACUCCAGCUUCUCCUCGCAGUCGCUGGCCCGUUCCUCUGCCAUUCGUAAUCAGCUGGGCGAGGUCAAGAAAAAUGAUCUCUCCGUCACGGUCUUCUUCAACAAGGUCAAAAGUUUGGCUGAUACACUGUCGUCUAUUGGAAAGCCUCUCCGUGACGAGGAGUUUACUUCGUUCAUUCUCAAUGGACUUGAUGAGGACUACGACUCUCUUAUUGAAAAUAUCAAUGGACGUGACAUGCCGAUGCCGCCUCGCGACCUCUACGUGCGCCUCCUCAACACCGAACAACGCCUAGCUGCUCGCCGCUCCGUCGGCGUCUACACAGAGGGCCCUUCUGCGAACGCUGCACUUCGCGGGGGUGCCCGUGGUGCCAAGCAGAAGGCGCCGCCGUCCGUGGGCAAUCAGCCCCGUUCGUCGGCUCCACCUCCUCCGACGGCUGGUCGCAAGAGGUUGGCGCUGCGAGUCAUGCGGUGGUGACGUUGAGUGUCAACUCUGCAGCAUCGAGGGGCAUUUGGCGUCUCGCUGCCAUCGCCGCUUCAAACGCGACUUCCUUGGCAUUGGGAACAACGGGAAAGGCAAUGAGAAACAAGCUGCUCUCGCUACACAGGAGCCUGGGUUCACUCCUUCUUAUUCUGUGGAUCCGUCCUGGUACAUGGACACCGGUGCCACCAAUCAUCUGACGAGCCAGCUCGACAAGCUGGCUACUCGCCAGCACUACACUGGUCAUGACCAGGUCCGUACUGCCAGUGGAUCAAGUAUGCCCAUCUCACAUGUUGGUCAGGCAUCUCUUCUUUCACGUACCACUAAAACCUUGUGUCUCCUUGAUGUUCUUCGUGUUCCUUCAGUCACACGUAGUUUGCUCUCGGUUCCUAAAUUAACUCGUGACAACAAUGUGCUUGUUGAGUUUCACCCUUUUUAUUUUUUUGUUAAGGACCGGGACACGAGGGACGUUCUUCUUAGUGGUCGAGCUCGCCAUGGCCUAUAUGCUCUUGAUGUGCCGCCUGUUUCUGAAGUUUUCAGUGGUGUUCGGGUGUCGUCGUCGCAGUGGCAUUCUCGCCUCGGUCAUCCUGCCACUCCCAUUGUGUGACAUUUGCUUCAUCGCCAUAGUCUUCCAGUUGAGUCCAGUAAUAAGGAGUUUCUAGUGUGUGAUGCCUGUCAACAGGGCAAGAGUCAUCAGCUACCUUUCUCUGUAUCGAGUCGUGUUGUCAAGGCUCCUCUUGAACUUGUGUUUUCGGAUGUGUGGGGCUAUGCCCAAACUUCUGUUAGUGGUCACAACUAUUAUGUUAGUUUCAUUGAUGCCUUUAGUCGCUUUACUUGGAUUUAUCUCAUUAAGUGCAAAUCUGAUGUGUUUCAUGUUUUUAUGCAAUUUCAAGCCCAUGUUGAGAGGUUUCUUAAGUGCAAAAUUAUUCAUGUUCAGUCUGAUUGGGGGGGGGCGAAUAUCGCAACCUUAAUACUUUCUUCACGAAACUUGGCAUCUCGCAUCAUGUGUCUUGUCCUCAUACACACCAGCAGAACGGUGCAGCUGAGCGCAAGCACCGUCACAUAGUUGAAACUGGCUUAACACUGCUCGCACAUGCCUCUGUUCCAUUCCGGUUCUGGAGUGAUGCUUUUGUUACUGCUUGUUUUUUGAUCAACAGGCUACCCACACGACUUCUUCACAUGAAAUCUCCCCUAGAGGUUUUACUUCAUGAGACUCCAGAUUACUCUCUUCUCAAAGUGUUUGGUUGUGCGUGCUGGCCACAUCUUCGGCCGUACAACAAGCACAAACUCGAGUAUCGAUCUAAGAAGUGUGUGUUUCUCGGAUACAGUCCUCUUCACAAAGGUUAUAAGUGUCUCCACAUUCCGACGAAUCGUGUUUACAUUUCUCGUGAUGUUGUAUUCGAUGAGACUGUUUUUCCUUUUUCCACACUGUCACCUUCCACCGAUACCACCGCUACUGAGCUGCACUCCUUUCCAGUUUUGCCUGACCAAUUUGUAGAUGCUGCAUAUUCUCCUCUGUUGUUGCCUAACCAUGGUGCAGGAACUGGACGGGGUGCUCGCCUUGAGCUUCUUCAUGACGACGUGGUUGCUACGGCACCAACUGCAGUUUUGCCGCCGGACGGGUCGCUUGACUCUGCGCUUGAUGACGACCACCACGAUGAUUGCACGUGCAUGCCCCAUGCACGUGGAUCAGGUGGUGUGGCCACCUCACCUAGCCCGGCUGCUAGCCCGGCUGGGUCUCCAGUUCGGCCACCCGAGCCGGCUGCUACCGCAGUUCGGCCGCUCGAGCCGCCAACCUCCACGGCCUCUGCCCCGCGUGGGUCGUCCUCGCCUGGUCCGCCUUCACCGACCACUCCGGGCCCAACACCGCCGCGCCCGUCUUCGCCGGUCUCUCCGGCGCAUGCAGACCCUGUGGCAUCUCCUUCGGUAGAGUCUGUGGACUCGCCUACUGCUGUGGCUUCUCCAACACCUCCGCCGCCUGUCGUACUGCGCCCUCAUACGUGCAGCAAGAGUGGCAUUGUCAAGCCUGUCCAACGCACAGAUGGUACGGUCGCAUGGCUUGCGGCCUGUGUUGCUCGUGCUGAGGCCGAUCCUACGGUGGAACCGCGACAUUUUCAGGCAGCGCUUGGCAUUCCACACUGGCACGCUGCUAUGGAACAGGAGAUCCAUGCUCUUCGGAAGAAUAAUACUUGGCGUCUGGUUCCUCCUCCUUCCAGUGUCAAUGUUAUUGAUUCCAAAUGGGUGUUCAAGGUGAAGAAACAUGCUGACGGGUCCAUUGAGAGGUACACGGCACGACUGGUGGCCAAAGGAUUUAAACAAAGGUAUGGCCUUGAUUAUAAAGAUACGUUUAGUCCUGUUAUCAAGCCCACGACUAUUCGUGUUCUUCUUUCGCUGGCUGUUACUCGAGGAUGGUCGCUUCGUCAGCUCGAUGUCCAGAAUGCCUUCCUUCAUGGAGUUCUGGAAGAAGAGGUAUAUAUGCGUUAGCCCCCGGUUUUGUUGACCCUGCUCAGCCACAUCAUCUGUGUCGCCUCGACAAGGCUCUUUAUGAUCUGAAGCAGGCUCCUCGUGCGUGGCAUGCACGUCUUGGCGCUGCUCUUCGUGCACAUGGGUUUGUACCGUCUACAGCAGACACAUCUCUUUUCAUUCUUCAGCGACCUGAGGUGACUAUGUACAUUCUGGUCUAUGUUGAUGACAUCAUACUUGUCAGUUCAUCAGUCACUGCUGCAGAUCGGCUUGUGGCUUCUCUAGGGGCUGUUUUUGCUGUUAAGGAUCUUGGGAGACUGCACUAUUUUUUGGGUUUGGAGGUUCUUCAUUCUGACAGUGGCUUGACUCUCACUCAGCAGAAGUACUCUCAGGAUCUGUUGCGACGUGCAGGUCUGAUGCAGUGUAAACCUGCUACGACUCCUAUGUCCUCCACAGACAAAUUAUCAGCUUUUGAUGGGGACUUGCUCUCUUCUGAGGAUGCCACUGAGUACCGCAGCAUCGUUGGUGGACUGCAAUACUUGCUCGUCACUCGGCCAGAUAUUUCAUUUGCAGUUAACCGUGUGUGUCAAUACCUUCAUGCACCGCGUGAUCCUCAUUGGACGGCGGUUAAGCGCAUUUUGCGCUAUGUUCGACACACAGCUUCGUAUGGUCUCCAUUUGCAGCCUGCGGCUUCUGGUUUGAUCUCAGCCUUCUCUGAUGCUGAUUGGGCUGGUAGUCCCGAUGAUAGGCGAUCCACUGGGGGACAUGCUGUGUUCCUUGGUCCUAAUUUGAUCGCCUGGCAAGCUCGAAAGCAAGCUACCGUGUCUCGGAGUAGCACUGAAGCUGAGUACAAAGCAGUUGCUAAUGCCACAGCUGAGAUCAUAUGGGUUCAGUCAUUGCUUCGAGAGUUGAAGGUCUUUCAAGCCCAGCCGCCUGUUCUUUGGUGUGAUAACAUCGGUGCUACAUAUCUUUCAUCCAAUCCGGUAUUUCAUGCCCGAACGAAACACAUUGAAGUUGACUAUCAUUUUGUGAGAGAACGUGUUGCACAGAAGCUACUUCAAAUCAAGUUUGUUUCUUCUAAGGAUCAGCUUGCUGACAUUUUCACUAAACCCUUGUCCUUGCCCUCUUUUGAAGGAUGUCGACGCAAUCUUAACCUCAUGAAUGUUUCAGGACAUAGUUAAGAUUGAGGGAGGGUGUUAGACUAGGUAUAUUGUAGAUAUACGUGUUGUAACACAAUACAUGUACCUGUACGUUCUUUCUUAUAUACAUGACAGCCGUACCCGUUUAGGAUAUGGAGCAUUGUUCCAAACCCUAGCUUUGUCUAACAAGGGGAAGCUCCCCGGCGGCCAUGAUGACCACCAGCAGACUACUCGCACCAACGGGCACCAUGUUGGCACGGGGACGCAUGACAACCCUGCCACCGAUGACACCUAUGGGCAACAUGAACACCCCGGAGUGACCGGCACAGAGGCAUACAGCACCGGCGGCACAGGCGAGAAGAAGGGCAUUGUGGAGAAUACGAAGGAGAAGCUCCCCGGUGGCUACAAUGACCGCCAGCAAACCGGUGACACCUACGGGCAGCAGGGACACACCGGCACUAUGACGCAUGGCACCCCGUCCACCUGUGGCACCUACGGGCAGCACGGACACGCCGGACUGACCGACAUGGGAACCCAGGGCACCGGCAGCACCGACAAGAAGGAUGUCAUGGACAACAUCAAGGAGAAGCUCCCUGGUGGCCACGGUGACCACCAGCAGACCGCUGUCACCUACGGGCAGCAUGGACACACUGGAAUGACUGGCACGGAGACGCAUGGCACCACGGCCACCGACGACGGGAAGCAAGGACACAACGGAACAACUGGCACUGGGACACACGGCACCGACGGGACCGGUGAGAAGAAGAGCCUCAUGGAAAAGAUCAAGGAGAAGCUGCCUGGACUGAACUAAGCCCGGUAUGCCUAAGGCCGCUACCUUUGCAGAAUAAUACUCCAC
Molecule: long non-coding RNA, 47129 nt
Filed under: Triticum aestivum (bread wheat)
Lineage: Eukaryota; Viridiplantae; Streptophyta; Magnoliopsida; Poales; Poaceae
Description: long non-coding RNA (TAES_LNC012525)
Source: RNAcentral